AAAAAAAAAAAAAAACUCAAUUUAAAACCUAACACUUUUAUAAGUAUUUGAAUUUUUAUUUUUGAUUUUGAAAAAAUUAAACAUUUUUUUUUUACAUUUUCUUACGUUUGAUAUCACAUGAAUCUAAAUAGUUACCAAUACAAUAAAAUUUUGAAAGUAUAAAUCUAAAAAUUGAAAUGUAGGUUGAAUUUAAACUUUAAAAAGUUAUAAGGUAUAAUUUAAAUCUAAAACGUACUACUAAAUUUUAAACAUAUAAAAAACUUUGAUAGGUGAUAAAUAGAGAUUAUAAUAAUCACGUUGACAAGUAAUUCAAGCUCAUUAUUAUAUAUAUAUAUAUAUUUAAUUAUUGUAAAUAUAGGACAUUUAAAUAAGUAAAUCAAUAGAAUUUCUUAAAAAUAAUUAGUAACAUAUAUACUUUUAAGAAAUAAAAGCCAUGUCAACUUUAAAAAGUUUUGCCUUAUGAAUGAAGCAUACAAAUUAUAAGUUUGAUAAACAUCAUUUGAAACUUUUGUACUUGUUUAUUCUCUUCUCUAGAUUCUUAUAUACUUAGUUGCUUUAAAGCUCAACUUCACAUUUUUAAUCUUGAGUAGUUUUAUUUAGUUACAAUACAAACAAAAAUUUAAAACUUCAACACGUUAUCGAAGAUGGAGGAUUUUCCUAUUUUCUCUCUCGUAAUAGUAGAUUUUAGGGGUAUACAUGGGUUUAACAACCCAUUUGAAUCUUUCGAGGUAGCCAAACUAACUAGUUCGAAGGCCUUGAUACGUCUCCAAACUGGAACCAUUAAAUAUCUAUGGUAUUUAUUACAGGUUUUGAAGGAAGAUAUCAAAUUAAUUAGUUUUAAAAACAAAAACAUAGAAGAGUUACAAAUUCAUCCAUUUAUGUAAUUCAAGUUAUUGAUUUUAAAUACUUCUAUUCAACAUAAGAUCUUUACCGUCUCAACAAAAGUAGAAAAAUACUCAAAUCAAAAACAAAACUAAAUCAUCCGAUUCAUUUGAACAUUUUAUUAAAAAAAAAUAUCUUUAGUGAAUUUUGGUAUUGAAUAGGGUUGUGACAGAUGGCAAUAUUUAAGCAUAUCUAUUGUACUAAUUUAAUCAUUUAAGUAAUUAAUACCCAAAUUAAACAACCUUUGAAUUUGUCUCUUCCUCCCUGUCUCCUUGAUUUAUUAUAAUUAUACUUUAAUGUACAGAUUGAUGUACUGAUUUCCUCCUUUUUUUUUUCUUUCUUUCUUGUAAACUCAUAUAAUUCUAAAUUAAAAUUACAAAAGUCAGGGUUGACAAAGGAUGGAAAAAUUUAAAAGUCAAUAAUGUGAUUAAUUAGUAUUAUAACUAAUAAUUAUAUCAUCUAAGUUUGACACACACAUUGUUUAAUGAUAAAGUAUUACCUAAAUAAAGUAUAUAAUAAAAAAUUUAAUACUAGCAAGCAUAAUUACUCAACAAAUUAAAAUAAAAGAAAUACACACAAUUACAAAAAUGAAGUUGUAUCAAUUCAAACCGUGUAAAGAUUAAAUUGUCAAGUUUAACGACUAAAUUAAAUUGUUAUUUCUCUUCGUGCGUGUAUAUAGAUAGUAUCCCAAUUGAACAUCGAAAAUUUGGAAUCACAUCAUUCAAACAACUCUUUGAAAUUUAAAAUUGAAAUCACAAUUUGUAAUAGUUAUGACCACUCUAUAUUUAAGAUUAUAUAUAUAUAUAUAUUUAGAGAGAAUUCAUACUAAAAUCUAGGCGUAUUUAAUUUCAACAAUGAAUUUCAAAACUAUUAUUAUAUAUCUAUGGCAAGUUUUAAAGUAAGAAUAGAAAAUUUAAAAAAUCGUACAUUUGGCAAAGAACUGAAAUUUAUGUUCCACUAUGCAAUUUCCAUUGCUGAAAAUAUUAAUUGAAAGAAAAAAGGAAACUGAUUAUAUAUAUAUAUAUAUAAAAGAAAUUAAUUUAUUGGUAAAAAUGCAACAAAUUUUAUACAUUUAUUAUAAUUUCUUAUGCCCAUUGGAAUAAAGAGGAGAAAAUUGCAGGCCUUUCUCUAUUUCCAUUUUGUUUUGUUUUUUAAUUUAAUGUUUUUCAUGCAAGUUGAAAUUAGAUAUACAAAUAUCCAAAAUAGUCUCUCAUUAUAUAAUUUAUAAAAUUGUGAAAGCUAUUUUUACAAGAAAAUAUGAGAAUAUAUAAAAUAAUAUUCGUCGGAUAAUUAGUCAUCAAAUCAAUGGCCGUACAAUAAUGUAUAUACACACGUAUAUAUUUUAAAUACAUAAAUAAAUUGCCGGCUUAUUUGGGUAGUGAUGGUAACUCAUAUUUAUUUUAAAUAAUGCCAAUUUUAAAAAUAUUUAUAAAUAUACUAAAAUAUUGCAUACAUGGGUUACAUAUUUAAAUACUGAUAAUCAAAUUUUACUAUAUUUAUUUAUUUGAGUUGUUUUAAGAAGAAUUUUUAAAAAUAAUAGAUUUUAUAAAAUAUUUAGAAUCCAUACAAAAUUUUAUCUGAUAGUCAUUGACAUGCUAUAGUGAUAGAAGACUUUUAGUAAUAGAAUCCAAAAUUUUGCUAUAGUUCGUAAAUAUUUUAAUUUAUUUUACUAUUUUUAAAAAUGUUCUUUUUAUGAAUUGGGUGAAGAAGUUUAGAAAUAAGUAUUUUGUGAUUAAUAUUUAAUUAAAUAGUUUAGAGUAACUUAAAAAUAGCAAAAUAUUGAAUCUAUUUGCCAACUAGAGAAAAAUUGAUUCAACUCUUCCUCUAUUUAAGUUUUUUCGAUUUAUCUGUUAUUAAAAAUUCCUAAAUUAUUCAAAUUUAAGAUUUUUUUUAUGAAUUUUUAUUUUUAAAAACUGAAUCUAUUUCAUAUCAAUUUCUCAUAGUUUUUUUUUUUCUUUGUAGGGAUGAUUCUUUCUUGAUCACUUUAAUGUUUAGCAACGCAUCCCUGCAAAUCAAUAAAACCUAAUCAUUUGCUUACCUUAUAGUUUAACUACAAAAUUUUAAUGGUAAUUGCAUGGUGCAAUUCUAAAAGAUUUCUACAAUAUGGUUUUGCAGAAGAUAAUUUGUACAGAAUAGUACUAAAAAUGAUAAAAAAUUAUAACAACCUGUAAAUAUUUUGUCAAUUUUGUUAUUUCUUAAUAUUUUUAUUUAAAUUAGAAAACAAUAUUUUAAAAAAAGAAAUACACUAAACCUCCUAACCAAUUCAUAAAUAAAUUACUCAUAAUAAAAAGAGUUGGAAUUUGAUGCUCACAACGGUAAUUUGAUCAAGAUGAUAUGAGUUUCCACUGAUCACAAGUGAAAACAUUAAGAAAAUAUUUUUUUUGUAAUUUUAAAUAAUUAAGUUUAGAAAAAUUUUAAAAAGAAAAGUUCACGUGAAUAGAAGAAAAUGAUAAGUUUUUACCUAGAUACUUUAAAGCUUGAAGUAAAAUUUUAGUUAUUUAUUUUGAGGUUAGAUUAAAAUUUCGUGGGCUGUAAAUAUAUAGUUGGUUAAUUCUUCUAUUUUUAAAAAUCUCCACUUAAAAAAUAGUAGUAAUUUAAUUUAAUUUUAAUAAAUUUAUUUAUUUUUUAAAAAAACUAUAACAAACAUGUCUACGUCUUUUUUAUAAAAAUAAAAGUCUACUUAAUCAAUCCCACUAUAUCAUCAUUAGGUCAUGUCCCUUUUUGAUUAAGAGGUGCUAACCUAAAUAAAAGUCGAUAAUAUUAAUUAAAAAUUAAUCUAUAUAAAGGUAUAGAUGAGAAUAUAUAUAUAUUUUUCCAAAUGUACCCAUUCACUAAAAGAAUUUUCAUUUAUUCAUUUUUAUUGCAAUUUUGUUUUUAAAUAUAAAUGUUCUUUCAUUUGUUGAAAGACUCCAACUCUCUAAUCAAAUAAUAUGUUUCAAAUGUUGACAUUUUUUAAAUAAGUAGACUUCCAAAUAUAGAAGUUUUGAAGAUACACAAAAAUGUUGGUAGAAAAAAAAAAUAAAAAAAGUCUUAUAUAUAUAUAUAUAGUAGAAAAAAAGGUUACAAAUUUUUUUCAAUUUUUGGGCUUUAAAUUUGCAUUGUUAAUUAGAAUUAAUAAGAUAUUUAAUUUUUAAUUAAUUUCUAAGAUGUAAAUGAAAAACCAUUUGCAUUCCAACUUUUCAUAUCCUCCGUCUAUAAUUAAUUCAAAAUGUAGUUGAUAAAUGAAAAAUCAUUUGCAUUCCAACUUUUCAUAUCGUGCAUACUUUAAAUCUACUAAACUUAAAUAUAAUUAAUUCAAAAAGCAGUGGAGGAGGGCGAGUCUUUUAUAAUUAUUUAUAUUAAAAAAACAAAAUUAAAAAUGAAUUUACCAUAAAACUAAAAAGUGAUUUGGACAUAGAACUAAGCUCAAUAAUAUAAUGAAGAGAAAAAAGUUUCUCCACAUUUUGACUCUUAUAUAUACUAUAGAUAGAUGUAGAAGUCUUAUAUUUUCGGUUUUAACAUAAUUAUUCUAUACUUGAUGUCGUUUCUUUACGAGAAUAAAAAACGGGCAUGUGUUAAUUAUCUAAUUAAAAUAAAAGACUAAUUUAAUAAUUCAAAAAUUAAGUUUGGAAAAGUUAAUAAAUAAAGUGAUUUAUUUCCAUUCACAAUUUCAGCUUUGUUUUAUAAUCAAUACUAUUUGAUCUUUUAGCUUUUUAUUUUUAAAAAUUAAACUUAUAAAGGGAACUUUCAAAUUCAAAUUUUUGUUGAAAGAGUCUUUUUACUUUGAGAAAUUUUCAUUUUAAAAUUUAGUGUUUUUAUUUGAGAAUUAUUUAUUUCAUGUAUGUAAUUUAUGAACUUCUUAUAUCGUUAACACAUGUUUUAGGUUGUCUCAAGUAUGCUCAUUUUAAUCUUUUAACUCACUUUUAGUUUGAAGAACAAAUGUCAAUUCAAUAAUUUCACAUUUCUUCACUCGACAGAACUUUUGGACCCGAAUUCAAGACAUAAUAUUUUGCCUAAUAAUGCUAGAGAACUAGAAAAGCAAUGUCAAAAAAUCCCAAAAACGAAAGAAUAAUUUAUCUAUAUGCUGAUAGACUUUAUAUACUUUCAACUCAUAUAACAUCGAGUUACUAACCAAGACUUGAUUAUUAUACUUGUUACCAUGAUCUGCAUAAUACCGAAGAAUAAAAACACCAUCAAACUUUGCAAAAUUAUAUAAAUAAAUUGUUUUACCACUUCGUCUUAUGUUUCAAUACACUUUCCUCCAAAUUCUCAAAUAUUUUCUCACUCCUUUUUUCAAAGUAACCACACCUAUUUAUGUUACUUUUUACUUUAACGUGUAAAUAAUUUGUUAUAUGAAGUGUAAAUGGUUUAUCAAUUUUUGAAAAGGUUUGUAAAAUGAAUGUAAAAUCUCCAUUCUCCAGCAAAGAAAAAGAGAUCUCAUGCAUAUAUAUAUAUAUAUGCUAGACUAUAAGUAUAGAUAUAUAGGUAUCCACUAAAUUUUGAAGAGGAAAAGAGAGAAGAAAACAUGAUAAUAAUGAAAAGGAGUGAUUAGAUGAGAGGUUAGGCGUGAAGAUAUGAAGAAAGUGGAGCCAAAGCACUAGAAAUUGUCCCAUUAUUACAAGCUAUGGGUCCCAAUUAAGGAGGUCGUCAUGAUUGGAAUUUCAUCAUCACUAUCUUUCAAAAUUUCUAUUUCUUUUUUCUUUUCAUAAACAAACCAAAUACAAUUUUAAUUUCUCUACUUUGAAUUGAAAAAUAUUAAAAAAGAUAAAGUUAGAUAGAUACAGAGAUUAAUCCAUAUUUCAAACUUAAUUACUAAUUUAAAUUUACUUAAUAUUUUUAUAGUUUUUGUAAAAAUAUAAAUUAAAACAAACAUUUUAAAUCGAUAUUUCUACUAGUGCUAUUAGGAGGAAUUUAUUAUUUAUUCUUUUCUCCAUUAGCUAUCGAUAUUAUUUAUUUAUGCAUAUCUAAUAUUAAAAUUCAACUAAAAAUACAAACAACUAAAAUUGAAUAGUGUUCAAAUAUAGAGCCCUUGUUUUCAAAAUGAAACAAGUAGAAACUAUUGUAGCAAUUAAUAUCAAUGUUGAUGAUAUUAAUAAAAAGAAUUAUAAAAACAAAAAGAAUUUAAAAAAAAUUAAAAUUAACUACUAACUAGUAAAUAAUUAUUGGACACUUUCUUUUAUAGAAAUACAUUCUAACUUUUUUUAUACAAGUUUGAACAAUUUAAUUCAUCCUAGGAUUAAUCUCUGUGGUAUACUUAUUAGGAUGAUUAUAAAUGUGAGAAUGUUAAUAAAAUUGUUGAUAUUGGGAGGAAAAUUGAAUAGCAUGAUAAUAAGAAAUUAGAAGGAGAUUGGUCAAAUAUUUUAGCGCAUGCUUAUUGUUUUUAUUUUGCUUUAUUUCACUCUUUGGGUCCUACCAACCCCUAAAAGUCCUUCUUUCACUUUAUUGAUUGUUUUUUUUUCCUUAACAAAAAAGAGAAAGAAAAAAAGUUCAAAUUACUUUAUGAUUUUGUAAAAAUCCAUGAAUAAAGAUGCUAUUAUGCCCUUUGAUAAUGAUUGUUUUUUCUUUUAUAAUACUAUUUUUGGACCACGAAAUGGUAAAAUAUUGAGAAUGGAGACACAUAGCCCAAAUGAAGUUACAUAAUUUGACUUCACAUGUUGAAGAAAAAGUGUUAAAUUGCUAUUAUAUUUUGAGAAUUGUUUGUUUGUUUUUUUUAUUAAGUAAUAAAUUUUUAUUGAAAUUUUAGAAGUUCUUAAUAGAAUCCUAGGUGGCAAAGUGGGCUCCACUUGGCGUUCUCUCACCGUUGACUAAGAAACAAAAAGUUUUGGUUAUGUUUUGCUUUGGCCUACUCGGAUUGGCCACGUGGGUCCCACCAACCAAAAUCAAAACCCACACCUGCUGAAAGCAAUUCCCUUUUCCACUUCUCACUCUUUCACUUUGAACUUCUCAAAAAAGCAAUUCACAGAGAACCGAAAACCAUAUGAAAAGAAUGGAAAAACAAACAAUACCAACCCAUUUCCUUUCUGGGUUCUUCUAAGUUCACUCCCAUCUCAAUCACAAAACCUCAAAACUCCACCUUCUUUCUUCUUCUUCUUCUUCUUCUUCUUCUUCAAUGACGGUCUGAUGCUUCAUCUCUGUUUCUCUUUCAUCUUCUCUUAACGGGUUCUUUCCAUUGCCGGGGACUGGGUCAGAUUUGUACUCUUUUUGUAAUGUGGGUGUGGCGGCUCGGCGUCGUGAAGUUUCGUGAAAUCGCCUCACGUUUUGGAGGGAGGAGAUAUGAUGAAACGGCUAAAUGGGGCUUUGGUUUUGCUUUGGUUCAUCUUUGUUGGACAAUUUUGUUGUACCAAUGUCUCUGCAACUGUAGAAGGUGAUUCCCAUUUCCUUUUCCUACUGAUGUUGCUUGUUGUACUUGUGUAGAUGAAAAGGGUGUGUCAAAGAUCAUCAAUGUUUUGGAACUGAGACCAUGGGUUGGCCUAACGGUAAAUAAAUCAUAUGAGUUUGAUAAUGGGGAUUUAUUAUCUAUGGCGUUUCGUUGACGUAUAAAUAUUGCAGGGUGAAGUGGGUUGUCCUAUGAGAUUAGUUGAGAUGCCCAUAAAUUGUCCCAAUGCUUCAGACUGUAAACAAAAACGUUUUGGAACAGAAUUCUUUUGGGCCAAUUUACUUCUCUGCCUAAGGCUGUUAUCUCUUAAUAUUUUUCAUUUAAGUGGUGGUUUUGAGAGCUUAAUGGGUUGCCAUAGUGUAAAAUAGGUUGAGACGAGAAGCAUACUUUAAGGUAACAUUUUGAUAUUUUUAGAAAUGCAGUGAUUGAGCCUUGUGUUCUAACUUCCCAAAUACAACUGUCAUUUUUCAUUUUGUAUGCUUGAAUUUUAUUGUUAAAUUCGGUGAUAUUCUGUCUCAUUAUUGUAUUAUAGAAUUCUAAAAAGUUGUGGAUGUGAUCUCUUUUCUCUUAUUCAGCUUCUGUUGAAUUUGACAAUGUGUUCUUUCUAUUCUAAACAGCUACUGUUCUGCAUAUAUUUCGAUUGAAUUUGGAAGAUCCAAACAAUGUUCUGCAGAGUUGGGACCCUACACUGGUCAAUCCCUGCACUUGGUUUCACGUCACUUGCAAUAAUGAAAAUAACAUUAUAAGAGUGUAAGGGACAUCAUUUGUUCGUUCAUUUGUUCUCGGGCUAUGUAAACUUUGGUCAAUGUCAUACAAAAUUUUACAACUUUCGGCACUCUUUGCAGUGACCUUGGAAAUGCUGGAUUGUCUGGCAAAUUAGUACCACAGCUUGGUCAACUUAAAAGUCUUCAAUACUUGUAAGUCAUUGUUUGCUGUAAACUUGUUUGGACUUCAAUUCCUAUAGCAUAAGCAGUUGUAAUGGUGACUUUUACCUGCAUGUAUUGUUCUUCUCUAAGUUAAAUGAUUUUAAUUGAUUACAGGGAGCUUUAUGGUAACAACAUAAGUGGAGAGAUUCCAGAUGAUCUCGGGAACCUAGAAAAUUUGGUGAGCCUAGACCUUUACUUGAACGGUUUAACUGGCCCGAUUCCAGACACGUUUGGCAAGCUCACACAAUUGCGUUUCUGUAUGAAUAUUAUACAUCCUUUCUUUUCUCUUCUUUGUGAUAUGUUACUUGACAUCUUUUGUGCUUUUACUUUCAUUGAAUGAGAACAUGCUUCCCUAGAGGCUUGACUCAUUCAUUGUGUGUUUAUGCAUUAUCUUUGAACCAUACACAUUCUUCCCUUUAUGUAACUUAUGGGUGUUUUCUCUUGGUAUAUCUUUGAAUGGAUAGUCGGCUGAAUGACAACAAACUAUCUGGCUUGAUACCGAUUUCCUUGAUAAAUAUUUCCACCCUACAAGUCUUGUAAGCAUUUACACUAUCUUUUCUUGCUCUAAGGUUCAAUUUUGUUGGAAGUGAAAGUGAGAAUAUGAGUUGAAAUAGAGUGGCUAUAACGUAGUUUAAACAUCAUUCGCAGGGAUCUAUCGAACAACCUUCUAUCUGGAAAAGUUCCAAAUAAUGGCUCAUUUUCACUAUUUACUCCCAUAAGGUAUUUUGCUUAUAAAUUACACAUGAAGUUUCUUCUGGAUCGAUGUUAGCUGAUCAGAUACUAACUGCUAUCGUACUGUUUGUAGUUUUGCAAAUAACUUGGAUCUAUGUGGUCUGGUAACUGGGAAACCUUGCCCUGGGAUCCUCCCUUUUCUCCACCGCCGCCAUUUGUUCCACAAUCAACAGUUUCUUCCCAUGGUAUUAUCUGGUUAGAAAGAUUAUUGAAAUAGGCAAUUGUUCUAGUACUCUACCACAACAAAUUGUUUAAUGGAAUACUUCAUCUCACAAUUUGGUGCAUAUCAUUGACAUAAGUAACUUCACUUGGGUUUAAAUAUACAUUGUGUUUGUUGAACCUAACAAGUGAGGUUAAUUCACAUUUAAGAAAUGAGUUUCUAUGAACUUCUCCAUUGUAGCAUUAACUUAUCUUUGACUUUGAGAAAGCUUAAAAUAUGUUUGGUUUCUCUCCAGAAUUAAACAAUCCCAAUGGAGCAAUUGUUGGAGGAGUUGCUGCAGGUGCUGCUUUACUUUUUGCUACACCGGCUAUCAUAUUUGUCUAUUGGCAUCGGAGGAAAUCACGAGAAAUAUUCUUCGAUGUCCCUGGUUUGUCUCUGUUGCAAAAGAUUCACUUUUACCUUUUUUUAGCUUGCAAGUCACCAUGGCUUUGUUUAUGCAGCGGAAGAGGACUCAGAGAUCAACUUGGGGCAGCUGAAGCGGUUUUCUCUGAGAGACUUACAAGUUGCAACAGAUAACUUCUGCAACAAAAAUAUUCUUGGUCGAGGUGGAUUCGGUAAAGUCUAUAGGGGACGUUUGGCUGAUGGCUCGUUAGUAGCAGUAAAAAGGCUCAAAGAAGAGCGUACGCCAGGUGGGGAGUUACAAUUCCAAACAGAAGUAGAGAUGAUUAGCAUGGCAGUGCACCGAAAUCUUCUGCGACUACAUGGAUUUUGUACAACAUCGAGUGAACGCCUCCUUGUUUAUCCUUAUAUGGCCAACGGAAGUGUUGCAUCAUGUUUAAGAGGUACAAUUUCUUGUUUUUCCUUGAAAAUGUUAGAAGUUUCAAGCUCAAGUUUUUUCUAUAACUUUUCUAGUGUAUCUUCAAUCUUGUUACAUUAUGUAUUUUAUUUAGUUUUGAUAUGAAAUCAAAACUAUCUUAUCCACAUCUUUGUUAAUUGGCAAAGCCACUUUUAUUACAAACUCAUAAUGUAGCUAGCAUAUUUUUCAUAGAACGUCCACAGUCUGAAGCUCCUCUCGACUGGCCAACUAGAAAGAAAGUUGCAUUAGGCUCUGCGAGAGGUCUUUCUUAUUUACAUGAUGGAUGUGAUCCAAAAAUCAUCCAUCGUGAUGUGAAGGCUGCAAAUAUUCUACUAGAUGAGGAAUUCGAGGCUGUUGUGGGUGAUUUUUGGUCUUGCAAAGUUAAUGGAUUACAAGGAUACUCAUGUUACAACAGCAGUAAGAGGUACAAUUGGGCAUAUAGCUCCAGAGUAUCUCUCAACUGGGAAAUCAUCUGAAAAGACUGAUGUCUUUGGUUAUGGCAUUAUGCUUUUGGAGCUAAUAACCGGACAAAGGGCUUUCGAUCUUGCUCGACUGGCAAACGAUGAAGAUGUCAUGCUGCUUGAUUGGGUAUAAACUCAGGAUUUUUCUUUUUGCAAAGUCUACUAACUUAGCAGCUCUCAACAGUUUUUUCUCUAACCACUCUCGUUUUGAUUACAAACUUUUCAGGUGAAAGGGCUUCUGAAAGAGAAAAAGUUGGAGAUGUUGGUUGAUCCUGAUUUGAAGGAGAACUAUGAUGAGAUUGAAGUUGAGCAAAUAAUCCAAGUAGCACUUCUCUGCACACAGAGCUCGCCUAUGGAACGACCCAAAAUGUCUGAUGUGGUGAGAAUGCUGGAAGGAGAUGGGUUGGCUGAGCGAUGGGAGGAAUGGCAGCGAGUGGAGGUAGUUUACCAUGAAACAGAAUUGACAUCUUCUCAAACUUCAGAAUGGAUGGUUGAUUCGACUGAAAACGUUCGUGCUUUUGAAUUAUCUGGUCCUAGAUAACUAAACAGUUUGAUAGAAACAAAAUGUCAUCAUUCCUUCUUUUUUUCUUCUUUUAUUUAGAGUGCUCACUUUUUGCUUCACAAAACCUGUGUAUAUGAACACCUUGUUAGAGCAAUAUAUUACGUAUACAUAGCUUCAUUUUCAUAAUUCUUCUUUCUUCUUCACUUCAUUUCAGUUAUUCACCAAGUCUUGAAAGUUUUUAAGCAUUAAAAUAAAAUGAUCAUUUGUAUCAAACUAUAGACACAAACUUAAAACCAAAAAACUUAGUAGACAUUUUCAAAUUUUAGAAGCUUACGUUAAAAGUAAUGAGUUUUGAAAUUUCACCCUAAUAAAAGAUAAAUUCUAACUUAUCAAAUUUAUAAUUUAAUUUUCUUUUCAAUGUAGGAUAAGUUACAAAACUAUGAUUACAAGAUAAUGACUAAAUUUUAAGAAGAAAAAAAAUGAAGUUUGGCUAUGUAAUAACCAUUUUUCUUUUCAAACUAACCUUAUUUUCUCUCUAACUUGUCAUAAUGAUUUAUAAUUUUUUUAAUUUUAAAAUCCUAAAAGGUUUUUAAAAUUUGUAUCUUCAUCUCUAAGUUUUAAAAAUGUAAAUUUUGGUGUGCAGAUUUUUUAACAAAAACUUAUUUUGAUCUUUUCGUUAGAACUACGUUAUCUUAACAAAAUGUUAGAGUGACACUUCUAUAUUUGGAUGAGUUGAGCGAUCAAGUAACUUCUCUAAACGUAAUCAAACACUAACAAUCAAAUAAACUCAAAUUAAAAAAUUAAAAUUGUUUUUUUCUCAAAAUUUAAAUCUCUCACAUCCUCUCUUGUCUCUCUCACAUUGUUUUUCAAAUUGAAAUCUUGAAGCAAAUUAGAAGAACAUUAAGUAGAAUAAAAAUAAAUAAAACCGACAUAUUAACGUGCUAAAAUCUCUAACAAGGUAAAAUAAAUUAGAAAAUAAAACAAAUAUAACACAUUAAUAAAAUAAACUCUAUAAAAUUACAUAUCAAUAUUCCUACCAUGAAUCAUGAAACCAAAAAAAGAAAAGGAGAAGAAAGAAUUGUGAAGAAGAGAACAAAAAGGCAUAUCAAUGAAUCACAAGAUACAUCACGACUAAACAAUUUGUAUGAGAAUAAAUUUGUAUGUAUGAGUUGAGAAAUGAACUAAAAUGUCAUCCUCGUCAUGAUUUUGUUAUAGAAUUUUUUUUUUAAAGAAAUUUACAUGGACCAAAAUAGAAUUUAAAUGUUUUUCGUCAACUAUUGUUUAGAAAACUAAUUUUUAGCUCUCGAAAUUUAAAGAAAUUUAGAGAAGCUUAACUUUUGUUUUUUGUGAAAUAGUAUAUUAUUAUGAUUUUUUCAAACAAGCUUAAUUUUUUUUUAAAAGAAAAAAAAAAGACGAAAUGGGGCUAAAUUUGUAAUUUAAACUUUUAGAAAAGUUGAAUCGGAGAAGAUGAGGGAUGGAAGCGACGGAGAGAAGAAAAACGGGAGAAGCUUUUGAGAAACGCCGCCUCCUUAAACCCUAAAAUUUCUAUGCUUUUCAGCUCUUAAAUUAAAUGUACGCUAUGUAUCCAUCAUUCUCUGUUUGUGUUCCCUCUCCCCUUAAUCCUCCUUUCUUCCUCCGACUAAUUCAUCCAUUCUUGUUUUCUUUCUUCUCUUCUUCUUCUUCUUCUUCUUCUUCUUCUUCCCACUCCCAACCACCCUCUCAUUCCUAUGGAAUCGUCCUCCAAUACCUCAUCGAUACCUUCCAACUCUCCCCCGCCAGAGCCGUCUCCAUUAUGGCAACCCGUAGAGGCAUUCAAUCAACUGAAAAGCCUCGUUCCGUUUACAAAUAUCUUUCGGACCUCGGAUUAUCCGACACCCAAAUUAAAUCAGCCGUUCGAAUCACACCCCAAAUCGCGUUUUCCAGCAUUGAGAAAACACUGAAGCCAAAGAUCGAGUUCUUACAGAAUCUUGGCUUUGUUGGCUCAGAUUUGAGUAAGUUCAUUUCCAGGCAAUCUAAAUUUUUUUCUUCUAGUUUGGAAAAGACAUUGAUGCCCAAUGUUGAGAUUCUUAAGAAUGUUUUGCCCAAGGGUACGUGUAAUGACGAUCUCCCGAAAGUUUUGCGGCGAUGUUCUGAUGUACUUACGAGAUCCCCGUAUAAAGUGUUGUCUGUAAAUAUCAAUUACUUACGAAGUUGUGGGAUUGUUGACUAUCAACUCUCUACGUUAUUGAAGCGACAACCUGCACUUUUUAUUAUGCAUGAAUCUCGACUUAAAGAUUUUGUUUCAAUGGCUGUAAAGGCUGGGUUUUCUCCCAACGGUACAAUGUUUAUUCAUGGACUUCAUUCUAUCAGUAGUAUAAGUAAUGCAACUUAUAAGAAGAAAGUGAAGCUGAUUUGUAGUUUUGGAAUAACUGAGAAAGAAUGUAUGAGAAUGUUUAAUUCGGCUCCUGUUUUGAUGAGGACUUCCGUUGGUAAACUUGAGGUUGGUCUAGAAUUCUUCAUGAAUGAGGCAAAAGUUAGCAAAUCAGAUAUUGUUCGUAAUCCUUUUUGUUUGAUGCACGCAAUGCAUGGAAGGGUGCUCCCUCGUUAUAGAGUUCUAGAGGUUCUGAAGUCGAAGAGGCUAACGAAGAAGCUCCCGAAGUUGAUCGAUUCAUUGUGGAUGCCUGAUGAGGAUUUCUUAGAUAAAUUCGUUCGUAGGUUUCCUGACAAUAUGAAUGAUUUGUUUGAGGCCUUUAGAGGUAAUUCGAGGAGAUAGCAACAUGAAGAUGGGGCAAGAACUAGAGCUAAUUUGAUCUAACAUUUGGUCAAUACCUUGAGAACAAGUGGUCGGGGUUGGAAGGUGCUUUGAUCAUAGUGAGCUCUUGAUUCCCCCUUUUCAUGUUAGGAUGGUCUCUCUCUAUCCCACAUUGUAUGUGCUACUAUGGUGAAUGUACUUGGAUUAAAGCUUCACAUUACAAAACACAACUAUUUUGCAUGACAAUUCUUCCUAAAAAUAAUGUAAAAAAUAACAGUAAAGAUCCUAAAUAGUUUAAGUUAAGGAAAUUGUAUGGAUCAGAAUGACACUCUUAAAAGUAAAAGAAUAAAACUAAACUAAGAUUCCUUUGAUCUAAAAACCUAAAUUGAUUUGAAUGUGUUUAGUUAUUCUUUACUUUUGACAUGUGCCAUGUGGAUUGUACCAUUGAUUGAUGGAUUCUACCUAAUUUGAUUGGAUUGAAAGGUGAUCGACCCAAUCUUUAAAAAUUGCACGAGAUCCACAAUUACUUACUAUCACUGUUAGGAUCAAAUGGUAAUAAUAAAUACAACAAAUUUAUAAUUCUAAGGAGGGAUAAAUAACAAUUCAACUGUGAUUGUAAUUCACUGUGAUUGAUUUAUCAAUGCAAUUUUAUUACGACUAUGUCAAUUGUGAUUUCGAAGUGAUAGAAUACGUAAAUAUAAAAAGAGAAGAAACUUUUGUUGUAUUAACUUUUACCAUAUAAUUUAAAAAUAUAUCUUUCUAUUUCAAACAUCAAUAAUAAUUUUGUUCUAUAUAUUUUGCAUAAAGUUGAGAAAGAAGGCUAAAUAGAUGGUGAUCAAUAUUUAACUUUUACAAACAUAUAGAAAUAGAAAAGUAAAUGAGACUUUGUGAGAAUAUAAAUGACAAUUAGGAUCGACGAACUUAAUUUUUUUCACGUCUCAAUCUUUAUUGUACUAAAGAAAAGCAAUAGAAAAGUAAAUGACACUCUGUGAGAAUAUAAAUGACAAUUAGAAUGGACGAACGUAAUUUAAUUCAUGUCUCAAUUUUUAUUGUACUGAAUAAAUAUAAAAAAGAGAAUUUUGAUUUACCUAUUCUGGUUGAUAAAAGAUAAAUAUCUUACUAAUAGGUCAGUAUUAAAAACGUAAAGAAUCUAUUGCACCAAACAUUUAUUUUUAAAUAAGGAAAAGAUAAAUAAAAUAAACUCAAAAUUGAAAGGCUAUACUUAUAAUUAACUUUAAUAUUAAUGUUUGUGGAAUUUUAAUUUUCUGUUUAAAGUGGUUGAGAUAGGAAUCUUACAACCUUACACUGUUAUCGCUAGAAAGAAAAACAAUUUUUAUAGUCGAUGGCAGAUCCGAAAAUUUUACAUAGGAGACACCAGACACUAUAUAAUAAACACAUUAAAAAUGUUAAAAAAUAUCUUGACGUUUCACUUAUGCUCUAAUAACACUCACUACAUUUAUAGCAAUAAAUAAAGACCGACAAUUUUCACAUGAUUUUUUUUAAUGUAAAUAUGUAAAUUUAAAAUUUGCAUAAAAAAAGAAAAAAGAAAGAAUAAUACAUUUUUAAUAUUAUUGAAAGAGUGGAAGUUUGGAUCACCGAUUUUAUUACAUUCUUUUAAUUUUUUUUGUUAGAUAACAAAUGAGAUCUAAGAAAUAAGUUAGGGUUAUAUAUGAGUUUUUUUUUUUUUCUUUUUAAAAAUUAUCUUCUUUUGGUGAAAUCAAAUUAUCUUCUUUUUAGGAAAUCAAUAUCUUCCUUUUGUAAAUCAAAUUAUCUUCGUUUGGAAAAUUGUUAAAAUUUAAUAAGAAAUUUGAUAUCUUCAUUUUAGGAAAUCAUUAAAAUUUAGAAAGAGAUUUGAUAUUUAGGAAAAUCAAAUUAUCUUCUUUUUAGUAAAUCAAAUUAUCUUACUUUUGGCAAUCAAAUUAUCUUCUUUUGGAAAUCAAAUUAUCUUCGUUCGAAAAUGGUUAAAAUUUAAUAAGAAAUUUGAUAUCUUCCUCUCACGAAAUCAUUAAAAUUUAGAAAGAAAUUUGAUAUUUAGGAAAAUAAAAUGAUUGAUAUUUGAGAAAAGAAUUUGAUCGAUGUUUUGAAUAAAAAUCUAUUUUGUAAUAAUUUAUGAAUAAAUUUGAUAUGUGAGGAAAAAAAUUAUUGAUAUUUGAAAGAAAAACUAUUUCGUAGGCAAAACGAAGCUAAAUUUAAUAUAUAUUAUAAUCUAACACUUCAAAAUUAAUAUUAAAAUACAAAAACCGAUAACGUGAGAGGACACGUACCUCCAAUCCCUUAAUAAAUUCGACCUUGUUCAUAGCUAUCAACAACUAUGAGACCAAAAUUAUUUUUUUUGUGAAGGAAUAAAAUUCUAAAUUUCCCUCCUUUCUCUGAUAUAUUAAUUUGUGAUUGUUUAUAUAUAUAUAUAUUUCAAGAAAAAUUGUUUUCAAAUUAAGAAGAUGGGGUAAUUUAUAAAGUGGUUACUAACAAUCUUUUAAUACUAAAAAAAGAAUUACAUGAGAACUUCGAGAUUAGACAAAUCAAAACCAACAUGUUAUAGUUAUUGUGAAAUGAAAUCUCCCAUAAUUAGAAAAGAAAAGAUAAAAUGAAAUCAAGCAUAGAUCAAAUACUUUAAAUCAAAUACUAUAAAGGACAAUUAUUAUAUACGUUAAUACUUUAAUUCUGAUUGCUAUAUUUACGAUUGUCCAUUAUUGGUUUGGUAUUUAAAUUUUAUAUAUGAUUUUACUGCCAUUUAUGAAUGUUUUAAUAUGUUUUUCUAUUUUUAAAAAAUAUCCAUUUUUAGCCCUCCAAUCAAACAUCAAUUAACUAUAUAACAUUUAAUUAUAAACUCGAAUAAAAUAUCAAUUUAUCGUCUAAGAUUUAAUUGAAAUCUACAAUAAAACAUUAAUUUACCAUCUAAACCUUUAAUUAAAAUUUAAAACAAUCGAUUAUUGAGAAUAACUAUCUUAUUUUGGAAUGGAGUCAUCUGAACAUAAACAUGUUUGAAAUUUGAUGGACAUGAAUCAAAAUAUAGUUUUGUUUAGAAAGUUGCAACAACUAGAACGAAUGUAAACGAAUGUGGAAUGAAAAUAGGGUGUUUUAAAGCAUUUAGAAAGUAAAAGAUAGGGUUAGACAGAAAGUUAGGAGUAGAAGAUAAAAUUUACAUAUUUUAAGUAAACUAUUAGGAAAGAGGGAACCCACAAAUUCAAAAAUGAUUCUCUUCUUUAUUGGAACAAUCACAUGCAUUAGAAAACAUCAUAAUCAGCAUCUACUCAUCAACAUGAAGUAAGCUCAGCAGAUUCUUGGAAUUUCUCAUAUACUCACUCUCUUCAUUGACUUUUCCCAAAGUUGGCAACUUGAUUCAGCUUUAGCUGACAAAGCCAGCAUCAUCCCACGAAAUCCAGAAGCACUUUUUCGUUUUGGAGCUUCGAGUGCUCCACCAUGGCGUUUCAAACCCAAUUUUUGAAGAAGGCCUCCGUGAGGCGAACUCGAAGGCGCUUCAUGGCUUUUCCAGGCCAACCUUUUGCGCUUCUUUCUCUUCCAUUCCUUCUUCUUACGCUGCCAUGGGUGCCGACGAAUCCAAACCUGUUCUUCCGCCCUUUGAUUAUGAACCGAGGCCUUACAAAGGGCCUCUCACCGAUGAAAUUUUUCAGAAGCGGAAGAAGUUUUUAGGGCCUUCGCUUUUCCACUACUACCAGAAGCCAGUAAUCUCUCAGAUUUCGACUUCAUAUCCUUGUUUGUUUCAGUUUUCUGCAUUCUUGAUUUUGCUGUGGUUUUUUCUGAUAAAGAUUGAUUGUGGAAUUCUGUCGGUUCAUUUCUUUGAACAGAUUAUGAUUUUGCAUGAUUUUUCCGCUUUUUUUAUUCGUUGCUACUGCAGAUUUGUUGAUCUUAGUCACUGUUUUAUGGGAUACGCUUGGUUGUUUGGUUUCUGUUUGAACACACAUCAUUAAACUGAUCUUGGUUUGUGCAUGUCGAAUUAUUAGGUGCGAAAAAUUGUUUAUGCAUACUUACGUUCUUCUUCUGUUUGGGGGUCGUGUUUUCAUAUUUCUACGUUUGUCUAUAUUUUCUCAACUUCGUACUUCUAUAUAUAGAUAAAAAAAAAGCGUCCACGUUUUUUUAUGCGCCUUGCGAUUAACCAGAAGAUUAUUGCGUUUUAUUGUGCCUUUAAAAACCGCUGGGUAGGGCUUAGUAAAUGUGGAUCCAUUCUUUGAGACCUUGAAUUAAGUCAAGCUUCACUUCAUUCAUUACUUUAUACAGCUUUUCACCCUUGAAAGUUGAAACUAUUCUUGCACUAGUAACUUCUAUGGUUAUUGCUUUCCUAUGCUGGUACUUUGAUUUAAGUUGUUACAUGUCCACUGUCAAAAACAUUUGAUCAAGGGUUGCUAUUUUCGGGGCGGGCAGACUCCUAUAUCUUAGACUAGAAAAGUUUAAUAAAAGGGAUGAGUUUUAAAGUUUUCUCUCGUAUCUUCCCCCUCAUAAGUUUUUCGAAUUGAAAGAUUAUACGUGUAACUGGUUUAGAUCAAACUUUUGGCGGACUUUAUAAGAAAUCUACCCACCCUGGCCAGUUUGUUUUGUUUUGUAUUUGAUGGAUUCCCUUAAUUUCAUAUGUCCACACAUUCUUCAGAAACUGAUCUGUUUGAUUUACGCUCUUAAUUUACAGCUCAACAUUGUAGAAGGAAAAAUGCAGUAUUUGUUUGAUGAGAAUGGUAGGCGCUACCUUGAUGCUUUUGCUGGAAUAGUUACUGUAUCCUGUGGGCAUUGCCAUCCUGAUGUUUUGGCUGCAGUCAAUGAGCAAAAUAAACUUUUACAGCAUGCUACAACCAUAUACCUACACCAUGGGAUAGCUGAUUUUGCUGAAGCAUUGGCAGAAAAAAUGCCUGGAAAUUUGAAGGUGUUUUUUCCUUUUGAAUUAUUACAUAUUAUUAAUAUAUUUUAGAAGUUGAUGGAUGAUAAUGAAGCAAAGCAUGCAGUACAUGUUAGGCUCCGUGGAAAUUGUUGAACAUGUAUAGUUGUAUUUCAAUUCCUAGAACUGGUGGAUCUUGUUUCUCAACUUUUGUGGUUUGGUUGCUAUUUCAUCACUCCUUGAUUCUCCUUACCUUUUUAAAGAUUAUCCUACUUCUGUAUUGCUUUAAACUUCUGCUUUUUUCACUUUGUUAUUCAGGUUGUUUAUUUUGUAAACUCUGGGACAGAAGCAAAUGAAUUAGCCAUGCUUAUGGCCCGCCUGUACAGUGGUAAUCUCGGUAUGAUUGCACUGAGAAAUGCAUACCAUGGAGGAAGUUCCAACACAAUUGGACUGACGGCUUUGAACACAUGGAAGUACCCAAUACCUCAGGUUUUUCUGCCCAGAGCUUAAUCUCCAGUUUGAUGUUUUGUUUGGUUGCCUGUAUGUUAGAGAUAGAACUUACAUUGCCUUCUUGUUUUCUACUAGUCUGAUCUAGGCUUGCAGCAUCUUUUAAUUUAAAUGAAACAUUUUAGCAAUACUAUUAACACAUUUCAAGUAGCUACUUGAAGUAGAAAUAUCCACUUGAUGCAACUGCUAUUUUGUAAAAGCAAGAUGGAACUUUCACAUGCAAUUUACUCAGUGUAAACACAUACUCUGUUCUAGGAAGCUGCACAAUUUGAUCCAAGCAUUUUGAUUCACAUGCAAAAUUCUUGUGCUUGCAGGGCGAAAUUCAUCACGUUGUGAAUCCUGAUCCAUAUCGUGGUGUCUUUGGGUCAGAUGCUAGUGGUUAUGUCAAGGAUGUCCAAGAGCAUAUUGAUUAUGGUACUUCAGGAAAAGUUGCUGGAUUUAUAGCUGAAACAAUUCAGGUGCGUUUUUGUGACGUCUGAAAUCGAACAUGAUAGGCACAUUCUAUGUAAAAUUGAAAUUAUGUAUGGUUUUUCGGUUAUCUCAGGGUGUUGGAGGAGCUGUUGAAUUAGCACCUGGAUACUUGAAACAUGUUUAUGAUAUUGUUCGCAAUGCUGGUGGUGUUUGCAUUGCUGAUGAGGUCCAAACUGGCUUUGGUCGAACGGGAAGCCAUUAUUGGGGCUUUGAAACACAGGGUGUGAUUCCCGAUAUAGUAACGAUGGCAAAGGUAAUAUUUCUCAACCUUCAGCAAAAUGUGUUUACUCUUAUGCUAGUUGAAAACCACUGCAGCUCAUUGUCCUCGUUGUUCAUAACUUGAAAAUUUUCCCCCAACAGUUUUAAGUAUUCCACUUUUCAGGGUAUUGGAAAUGGUUUACCAUUGGGAGCAGUGGUGACAACGCCUGAAAUAGCGAGCACAAUGGCUCAAAAAAUUCAGUUCAAUACUUUUGGAGGGAACCCAGUUUGUUCCGCUGGGGGACUUGCAGUUCUAAGAGUUAUUGACAGAGAGAGGCGUCAAGCACAUUGUGCUGAUGUUGGUUCGCACUUACUGGAGAGAUUGAGAGCUCUCCAGGAAAAAUAUGAAAGUAAUUUCUCGUGGACUUUCUCUCUUUUAAGACUUCUACCUUCUUAAGUAAUCCACUUCGUUCUAAUAAUUCCAACGAUGACAUUUUUCAAAGCUUUGGAACACCAUUAGAAAUAAUUACGUUCAUUCCAACUGCUGCUAUUGUGAACCACACCCUGUCAUUUGAUUAAUGUAUUUUUUCCAGUCAUAGGAGAUGUACGAGGAAGGGGAUUAAUGGUAGGUGUAGAGCUCGUAACUGAUCGGAAGGAAAAAACCCCAGCAAAGACUGAAACCGCAGUAUUGUUCGAGAAACUAAGAGGUACUACAAUUCACUAUUUCCAAAGAAAAUAAUGUUAAACUGAAAGUAACAAAGGGCUGUUGUACUAAUGACUCGUUUCAUCUUGAUUGAAGAACUGGGCAUUCUCGUCGGAAAAGGGGGUCUGCAUGGCAAUGUAUUUCGAAUAAAACCUCCCAUGUGUUUCACCAAAGAUGAUGCAGGUAUCUUUUUUGUAAAUUUCUCAUUGAAACAAAUAAAAGCUACAUUUCGUGCACUGUGUGUUUUGAAAAUGAAAAUUUUUGGAGUUUCUGGAAGGAAAGAUAUGUUAUCAUUAUUAAUACUCCUUUUUUACCUCUCAUCUGCAGAUUUUCUUGUUGAUGCUUUGGACUAUUCCAUUUCAAAGCUGUAAAACUUAAAAGCUUUAAUGAGGUAAAGAAGUCAGACACAGUGUUUUUUCUUUUGUAUGUAACUUAAAAUAAAAUGUAGUUCUUGUGUGUAUGAGCGUCUCAAUUGUUCUAUUGUUCAUCAAUGUUAGAAAUCUUAUUGUACAAUGACUUUGAAACUUUUAAGAAUAAAAUGUAGUUUGUUUGUACAUCCAGCUACUACUUUUUCCUUUCUAAUUUAUACUUUUGUUAUUAUUAUUUUUCAAUCACAGUUUUGGUUUUGAGUUAAAUGUGAAGUUGAUGUCUCAAUAGCUUGUCACAUGACUGCUGAUUUUUUAGAUUUGUAGAUGUACCAAAUACCCCAUUGUAGGGCUAUUAGGAUGUUUUGUCCUUGCCAAUGAUUUAAUGCUUGAACAUGUUCUAUUCGUACACAUUUUAAAGUGCGAUUUAAUAUCAGUGUCUCAACCUAAUUCGUUGCUAUUCCAAACUAACAUUUGAGAAGAUUGAUUGGCGUCGAUAAACAGAGAGUUGAACUAUAUUAUUUGUGGAUAGUUCCUGCAUUGCACAAGGAGAGUGAUAUGAAUUGAUCAAACUAUUAUUUAUGUUUUAUUUAGUAAUUGAUGUAAUCUUCAUAUUUUCAUAUUAUCUUUUUAUGACAUAUUAAGUAGGGGUAGUUUUCUCUUUUUCACUAUGAUCUAAGAUGUGGCAUUAGCGUUUUUAUUGAUAGGUCAUUUAAAGCCUUGCUAUUAGGUUGUUUACUCAAAUUAGGACGAAUUAAUUUUGACCUUUGACCUUUGUUCUUGAAUUUUGCAAUUAUGUGUAGAGUUGUUUGUCAAAAGCAUUUAAGUAAGGUUGGUCAUUCUUUGUUUCAAAUCUUGGAUUAAGUAACUCUUUUUUUUUUGUCUCAAGAGCUUGAAAUCAAACUAAAUUGUGGGUUUUAAUGCUUGAGAGUUGGGGGUUUCACAUAUUCAAAGGGUAUUCAAUUCCAAUUUACAUGUGUUUCCAGAGAAGGCUUAAAAAUUAUUUGAAUUUGAGCUAUGACAUAAAUGAUUGGGCACAUGUCUUGUUAAGAUAAUUCUUGCUUACUCGUUUUUAGCUUUGUUGAAAAGAAAUCAACUAGUUCAUGUGUAUGAGUUUUUAAAGGAAAUGGAUAUUGUGCGUAUCUCAAUAACUCUACGGGGCCGUUUGACCCAUAGACUAAAAGAGUGGUAGCUCAACCCAUGUUUGCUCUAAAGAUUAUCACAAUCUUAGGAUUAUGACUAUUCUACCUUUUUUUUUCUUAUUCUCCUAUUCCUCAUUUCCUCAUUUCCUCCUGUCACUAUUCCUCAUUUCCUCCUUUCACUAUCUCAUUUACUCCUUUCACUAUUCCUCACCUCUCAUCUCUCAUAUAUGUCACUAUUUCUCAUUCCUUUGUUUCACUAUUUCUUACUUCUCCAAACAUAAAUUAUAAUAAUUCAAACUAUAAUAAUCUGCAUCUCAAACACAUAUUAUAAUAACUCAUAAAUUAUUAUAACCAAUAGACUAUAAUAACUAUAGAUUAUAGUAACUCACUCUACGUCCCAAAUGCUCCAUGUAUGUGACUUACUUCGAGCUUUGAAAUGUUAAUAUUUUUUUGGGUAAUAUCUCUUCUAUCGUUGUUUCAAUUAAGAAAUAUUUGUAUAAUUGUUUCACGUGGAGGAUUUUCUGACAAAAUCAUCGCUUAGAUUUGACUACUAUCACUCUUGUUGAGAGAUGUUGAUAUUUUUUCUUUUAUGCAACUUGACUUAUGUGUGUGAACCUUUUUCUCAAUUUAAGUGACACAACCACGAAAACAUUAAAUUGCUCUAAAUUGUAUGAUUUCAUUUAUUAGAAAAGUUAUUCAGGUUAAGGAAUCCUUCUUUACACCAAUUGCAAUAUCUCAUUAAUUAUUAGACUCAUAUUAGUGUGGUUCAGAUCAAACAAAUUUUUCUUGAACUUGCUGUUCUUUCAUUAGUUAAUUUGCUUUGUUUGGUGGUUUCGCUAACUCUUUGAAAACAAAGAAAAAAUCAAAUUGUCUCAUUAUUCAUCAGCAAAGACCAAGUAUUCACUCCAUAACUUGAUUAGAUUUGAAUUCAAGUAGCUUAAAGUGUCGUUUGCAGGUUCUGGAAUGGAUCAUUCUAGUGUCAUGAAUGUAUUUUUUGAUAGCCAGUCAAUUACAUAUUUUGCUUGAAAUCUAGUUUUUCAUGAAUGCACAAAAUGUGAUGUCCACAACAACAUAAUUGUUGGAUUUCGUAUUUCUAAGAAUUAAAGAUCAAUUUGUAGACAUCUUUACGAAGGCAUUAGAGAAACAACAUUUUUUUGUAUCUUCAUUGUCACAAGUUGGAGAAUUGUGAUCCUCAUUUACGAACACCUCGAGGAGCAUAAGAAUGCAUUUUAAUUUUAGUUCAAAAUUAGGGUUGUAUUAAGGUAACAAAACUUUGUUGAUAGGUUCCAAUUUGAAUCAACUAAAGUAAACUAACUACUCCAUUCACUGUCAUUUAUAAAUGUCAUUCUUGUAAUCAGUUGAGUAGGAAAAAAAAAUUGCAUAUCACAAAAAUGUUCAACCUGAAGAUUGAUUAUAUUAACACUAAAUAGAUUAUAUUUAAGACAACUUGGCAAUACAAUAGAUUACAAAAAUCAAUUAUACUUACAAUUUUUUCUCUCGAUAAGAUUCUCAAUAUUUACAAAUGGGCGUGGUAGGACUUGCAAAAUGGUAUGGCUUUGCAUCCUUGAUUAUAAAUCUUAUACCAAUACAUUUCCACGACGCCUGCAUAUCCUUUUAGGAUAAUCAUGAAGCAACCUUGAGCUUGCCAAAUGUUGGAUAAUGAACUAUGCAGGCUCACAAGGACGAUUACCCCAAAGUGAGCUCAAUGCUCGGAGUCGUUGGAAAAACUCCCCCAGUGUAAGAAGGCCUUGAGCAGAUUGUCGAGUCGUUAGAAUUUUGUACAUCUGUUGCAAUGUUUCCUGUCGUAGAUGGUCAGCCUAUUUGGGCAUUAGAAAAGAGAGAAAAAUAAAAGAUGAUUGUUUCAUGAAAUGCUCAAGUCUGACUAAUUAUUUUUGGAUGUACCAAAUACGACGUAGUGAGGUUCUGAGCUAAGCCUAGCGCGCUAACACUUUUCAGAUAUUGAAAUAAUUCUUUGCUAAAAACAUCUAUGUAAAAUUAUAAUCAAGUUCUAACAUACAUGGUUUGGACUUGGGACAUGGAAGGUUAAAGUGACCUAGGAGAAAGUUAAUAAAAGAACACAUCAUAUCCAAGAAAUAUGUUACCUGAUUCACAAAGCUAACGAGCGCUUCUAAUCUCUCCAUUGCAGCAGUCAUCUGUAGGGGAUAACUUCCUUCACCUAGCUGACCAGCCACUACGCUCUCAAAUAGAUUUUGUUGUAGUUUUUCCAUACCUUGUCUAAGAGCAUCUUCUGCCUGUAGACACGAUUUUCUAAGGCUACCCGUUUCUGAAAUUUGUUGUUCGGUUAAUGUCUCCAGCUGAGGUAUCAAAACCUGCAUAUGACAUAACUUUGUGAAUGUCACCAAACUUUCAUGUAAAUCCACUUAGUACUCUCAUUCUUGAAUAUCGAAAGGCUUUCUGAAUUUCUUGACUUCAAAUAUUGUAGGAUCAAGGGAUGGUCGAGAACUGUGGACCUAAUAUAUACAUAGAAAUCAAGUGACUUUCUACGGUAUAAAAAAUGUCAAAAUGUGGGACUUGACCAUGAUUAUCAAGAAGCAUUCAAAGAAUACCUUAAAAUUUAUGCCUCUAACAUAGAUUUUCACUGCAAUACAAGAAAUAAACAAGAAUGCUGAGUAUAUCUAAUGCUCUAAUCUUCAUUUUUUCAAAGGGGUGGUCCACGAAGCUACGUACAAUAGUGAAUUAAGGUCUUUUUAAACCAUGUUUGUUAUUCAAACUAGACCUAAAGUCGUGUGUGAUUGGAAGAUUAACUCUUUUGUUAAUGUCAACAUUUUACCAUGACUCGCCACUCACGUUAAUAAGAACGUACCUUGAGAAGUUCUGAAGGGCGAAAUCCUCCUAUCCAUAAGAAAAGUCUUUCGGCGGAUGUCUUCCACAUGCCUGACAUUAUGUAAGAGACGUCGGCUUUUGCAGCCUUAGCUUUCAUGCGAAAAAAUUUAAAGUAAUGUCUCAUUGCAUUUUCCACGAGUAUUCGAAGCUCGAUAUCAGUAAUAUCAGCAUGCACAGCAGUCCUCAGAUCACAAAUCUGCCUGUUCUGCUCUUCCACCCAUUGCUCAUACUCUGAUUCAAAUGCGAAGAUGCCUACAAAACAAACAGUGAGGAUAUAUUCAGAAGAUAAGAACGACAGAGAUUAAGGUAGAUUGCAAGUAAGAAGAAGAAAGUUGGUAAGAAAUUUAGGUAAACAGGUCAUAACUUUAGUCAAUGAGGCUUCUGAAGUGAAUUUGCAGAUGUAUACAAAUAGACAAAAAGAGUUGUAUGUGAAAUAGACAAAUUCAUAAAUAUUCUUCUUUUUACAACUUCUCCAGCAUUUUUGUUAUGUUUUUGUUUCCAUAACUGGGGUAUUUGGAUCUCACUCCUCGCAUUAAAGCUUAACAAUUCUGCCCUUCAACCCUCAACAACUUGCUCAAAAUAUGUUAGUGAAAAAUAGUAAUAGUUUUAAAGCAUUUAAAAAGUCAUUCCAUACAGACUAAGUUUUCAAUUUGGAAACUUCAACUUAAUACUUUGGAGGACACAUCCAAAAAUACUCGAACUCUGAAAACCAAGGCAUUCUACAUCCCUAGCAUUUCAAGCACCAAAUCUUUUUCAUCAUACCAUAUAUCUACAAGAAGUUCUAUGUCAAACAAGACGUGAUGCCGUACAAAACAUGUCAUCCUUGAGGAAAAUUAUCAAAAGUGGUAAGGAAGACCAGUCAAUCUUGAUCUGAAAAAUGAAUAGUAUAAAGCAAAAAAGGAUCAAAAUGCCUUUUGUUAAAGCAGUUGAUGAAACAUGGAACCACAUUUAAUGGGAGAGACCGCCUUUAGCACCACACAUCAAUAAGUUGGAUAAUCUUUACGUCUAGGACUCAAAAACGUUCGGAGACAUCCUAAACUUUACAUUUUACGAUGACCCACAUGUUGGGUUAAGAUUUUGGAUGUUCAUAGUUGACAAUUCAACAAACACUGGACCUGCAAAAAUUUUAGUCACUAAUCAUUUCCCCUAAAUUGAACCUCUCAAACAAAUUUCACAUCUCGUAGCUUUCAAAUUCCCAUCUUUCAGUUAUCAAACAACCAAAACCAAGCAAUAAAAGGAUCUACACUAUUGACAAGACAUUGAAACAUCAAAGUUAAAGAAAAGGGUAAAAACAAAGAACGAUUGGCCAGCAGAAAACCAACCUGAAUUUGUGGUUCCUGAUAAACCCAAUUGGUUAUUAUCAAAUCGGGAUCCAGCCAAGAGACCCUGAAGAAAAAGACAGGGCGAGAGAUUAAAUUAGAGGAAAAGAAAUGAAACCCAUUCAUAAUGUUCCGUAAAAAGUUGAAUGCAGGUUUAAAACAAAAAGAAUCAAUUCGAAGGAAUUAUCGUUCGUACUUGUUGUCUUGCCUUUUCAAGUUCUUGCUCCAAUUGAAUGAGCUUUAUGCGGCUUGUUUCCAAUUGCUUAAUAUAAGCCUACAAUUUUGCAAAUGGGGUUUGAAUUAGUAGUCUAUUAACACUGUUUUUUUUUUUUCUCUAUUAUUUAUUGCAAUUGAAACUUUGAAAUUGAAUGCUACAAUUUUGAAUUUUGGUUGGUACCUUUUUCCGUAGGCGACUUUUGCGAGCUGCUUCCCGAUUUUGUGCCAGCCUUCUUUGAAUCUGCAAUUGAUGGAGUUUUCAGUAUAUUUGUUCUCCUUCCUCAUGGAGGGAAGAAAAAAAAAAACUUCAAAAUUUCACUUAUCAGUUUUGUUCGGUAUUUUCCACAAAUUUGAAAUCUCUCAAUAUUUUUUUCUUAAAAAACCAUUUUAUUAUUUAUGCAAUUCUUUUUUGGUAAUGAUUUAUUUUAUAUAUAUAUAUACUUAAAAAAUGUGCUUCUUUCUUUUCUAAAAAAUAAAAAAUUGUAAAAACUAAUUUUUAUGUCCAGGAUAUUUUUGGUUUUUAAUUUUUUAGAAUGAAGUCUAUAAACACAAAUUUCAUACUUAAAUCUAAUUAUUUUGUUAUCUCAGGUUUUCUAAAAUUAAACCUAAAUUGAAAAAUAUGUUUUUCUUUUAACUAGUUAAAAAUUCAGAGAAACUUUUAAAAAUAAAAAAAAAUUAAAUAAUUACUAAACAAGUAGUCACUGAAACUUUGUAUGACGAAUUUUGAAGAUAUAAAUAAAAAGUCGUUUCAAUACUUAAUUUUAAAAAGUCAAACAAUGGUUAUCCCUUUCAUUUUCUUUUUUUUUUCUCUAUCUAUAAAUUAUAAUAAGUUGAAUUAUUUCUUUUUCAGAACAAUUCGAGUAAGAAAUUUAAACUAUAUAUAUACCUCAUGGUUGUUAACUUAUAUCUUCAACUAAAAUAUCAUUUUCAAAACCUAUGCUCAUAUAUUUUAGAUUAAAAGGGUAUGUUAAAAGUUUAAUCAAAGUUUAUAAACUUUAUAGAGUAUUUAUUAAGUUACCUAUUUUAUUUAUUUAUGUUUAAAAUUUAACAGUGAAAUUCAAAUAUUCAAAUAUUGAAAACGUAGAAAUUUAUUUUAAAGUUAAAUUAUUGGAAGUACAAUGUUUUGAUCGUACCUUAUCAAUUCGUUUGGUAUCAUCUUGGUCAUAUACGUGAGGAUCUCCAAGUGAGCCAAGUGAAGCAUCAUCUGACUAAAGAAAGUUAAAAUGACAAAGAUUUCAAUUUCAUUCCAUAAAACAAAAACAUUAUCAAAUAAAUUAACAAAAAAUAAAAUAAAAUAAAAUAAAAUUAUGGAACAUGUACUUUUUAAGAAAACGAAAACAUUAUCAAAAGAGUCACCUGAUUUUCUAAUUUGGGAUCAGCUUCGAUGAUAAAAGAGGAGGGUGGAUCUAAAUUGGCAUUGGCUCUAAAAGUUUCACCCCACAUUCCAAUAUGGUGGAUAGGUUCAUAGAGUCCCAUCCUUCCUGGAUUGUAAAAUUUAGUGGAUGAUGAGUUCAUCCUUUCUCUUCUUCACACCUAACCCUUUUUAAUUAACAUUAUAUCAAACAUAAAUUAACAAUUUCUAUUACAAUAAUACUCAAUCAUGUUAUGCAUCAAUUCAUAUUAUAUUCCUAAAAAAUUAAAACAGUUUUGUUUUUAUAUUACAAAGUCAAAACAUAGAAAUGCUAUAAUUAAUUAACAUAUAUAAAAAAAAUGAUGGAGUUGAAAUCUAAAUUAGCGAAUUCAAUUGUAAUUUUACUUAAUUUCUAAAAUUGAUAAAAAAAAAGAAGAAGAAGAGGAAGAAGAAGGAGACUGUGUAUUUUAAAAGAAAUUGCCCAUUGUUAAUUGUUUUUCAAUUAAUGAUUUCAAAAAUCAAAUUCUUGUCUUUGAAAAUUAAACUCUCAAUCAUUGCAUUGUAAUAGUCCACAGAGAUGAUAUAUUUGUUUUUUCUUUUCUUCUUUUUAAUUUUUUUUGGCUUGUAAUAUUAUUUUUUGAAAAAUUAUGAAAUAUUUUUCGAAUUUCUAAAAAAUAAAUAGAAAAAAUAGAAGAUAUAUAGCUCAAUAAUUGAUAUGUACUUUGUUUUGAAAGUUAUAGACUUAAAUAAAAAUAAAACAACUAAAAUAAUUACACAGAGUGAUAAUUUUAUUGAAAGAAAAUUAAAACCUCAAUAAUCAAUCCAUCCAUAACUACAUAAUCAAAUAAAAUUCUAUAUAAUUUGUAAUUUCAUCAAAUCAAAACACAAUAACAUUUCAAAUAUCUGUUUCUUUUUUUCUUUAAAAAGAACAUUUCAAAUUAAAUAUCCAUUUCAAGGUUAAGAUGGACUCAGGAGAUAGAAAAAGAAGAAGAUUGGGACAGACAAAUUAAUCAUAUAAUAUGAUGAAAUUAAUUGCAAUAAAAACAAAAGAGAAAUAAUUAUGAUUAUAGUUCUGAAAAAUGAAGUAAUAUACAAUAAUAAAAUAAUGCAAUAAAACUAAGCUGGCAGUAAUAAUCUUUUCAAAAAUUAAAAGAAAGAAAACAAAACCCCACAUAUUAUUCUUGGACAAGUGGGAAAAAGUUAACCAUCAAACGAUUCAAAGAACAAACGAAAGAAUUUCCCAGAAACUUCAAACUCAAAACCAUUAACCAAAUCUUACAAAAAAACUACUAAUACUUAAUAGAUAAAACUAUCAGUUUUAUAUUUGGAAAGCUCUUUCCAAUCAACAUAAAUUGGAUCGAAAAGUAAUAAAAACCGAAUGGAAAAGUGAAGAAGAUGAAGUAGUUGAUUGAAAUUCAGUCGUAACAAUCACGAAAGUUGAAAUAAACUGGAACACGUAGAUCAAUAGAAGAGAGAGGAUAGAAGAACACACCUGGAAGUGAAUAAGAAGAAGAAGAAGAAGAAGAAGAAGAAGAAGAAGAAGAAGAAGAAGAAGAAGCAGAUUGGAUUGGAAAAAGGAGUGUAGUUUGGAUAUAAUAAUUAGUUGGAUCAAACAUAAACAUCCCCUAAGAGAGCAAAAAAAGGGGGCUUCAAAGUCAGUUGGUUUCUUCUUUUUGAUCAAAUUAAACUUGUAUUUUUUUUGCUCCCACCAUCUUAAUUAAACUGCCCCCCCUCUUCCUUUUUUUCUUUUCUUUUCAGCCCUUUUUGUCUUCCUUACUCUCUCUGUUUAUUUUAUUUAUUUUGUACCCUUAUUUGUUUCUCUUUCUCUCCUAUUGGUUUUUUCUUUGUCAUCUCUCUCUCUCUCUCUCUCUCUCUCUUAAAUGAAUAAUAUUUGUUUAUUUUAAAAUGGAAUGUGGGCUUAGUUUUGAAAUGGGUCAAGGCUAAAUAUGAUUGCAAUUUCAUGGCUGUGGUUUUUUGAAGCAUAGGGAUCUCUUUGCAAAUUAUUAUUAGUUUUGGUUUUAAUUUUGUGAUGUCAUUUUUCUUUUCAUGUGGUUUUUUCAAUAUAUGGUUGUGAUUAAAGUUGCCAAUCUUUCUCUCUUAUUAUUAUUUUUAUUUUAUAUAGUACUUGAUGAUGAUGAUGAUAUAAUCAAUGUCUCUGAUUAGGGAAAAAAAAUUUAAUUAUUUUUAUGAAUAUAAAAACUUAUCCUUAUCUGAUUGAUGUUAAUAGAUUUGUUUUGUUAUUUCAAAGUUUCAAAUUAAAUAACCAAUAGAAUGGAAAUUCUACAUGGAUCCCUUCUUCCUUUUUAGAAUUUUUGUGUCGUUUUGUUGUGGUAGUUUAAAUGGGGCUUCUUUCUUUCAUGACCUAUGUAACCUUUUCUCCAUUUGGAUUCAUUAUUUUGUUUUCUUUUUCUCUCUUUUAAGUUAAAUUAAAAAAAAAAUCGUCAAAAUUGUUGGAAUGACUUUCAAAUAUUUAAUUUUAAAAAUGGUGAAAAUAGAGUUUUUUUUUUUUCUUUUGCAAUUUUCCCUUAAAAAUUUAAGUGUAGUUUUAAUAAUCAUGCUUAAAAUAUAAACACUUUAAUUCACUAGAGAAAAAAAAAUAUAUUUCUUUAAAAAGUCAUUUUUAUCUAAUAAAUCUAAUAGAAACGGUUAAAAAUAAAAUCUAAAGUAUUUCCAAAGCUUUUUAUUAUUUUAUUAUUUUUUAUUGUUAGACAUUUGAUUAUUCUUUAAAUAACUUUUUUAAAAUUAAAAUAUUAAGGAAACGCACCUUUAAUUUAAUAAUUAAAAAUGAUUUAAUUUUUAAAAAUAAUUUUUCAUGAAACUAUCUAAAUAUUUUCUAAAUAUAUAUAUAUAUAUAUAUAUUAUAUAUAUAUAUAUAAAAAUAUAAACUUGUUUACCAUUUGUAGUAUAACUCAUCAUCCCUAGAGAAACAACAUGCUUAGUUUCAAGAGGAACAGAGUCCCCAAUUAUAUUCGUUUUACGUUUUUUUCAAUUAUUUAAUUAUUUAGUGAUUAUUGUUUUUUGUUUUUUUUGUAAAGUUAUGAAAGAAUUUGGGGAAUGUCUAUUUGGUGAUUGGGGCCAACCAAUUUCCCAAAUAGCAUCUCCCACUUCCAUGGUUGCCAUGUAGUGUUUUCAUGAAGAGACAUCCAAGUGCUACCUAUAUAUAUAUAUAUAUAUAUAUAUUAUUUUUAUAAAACACUGUUAAAAUUCAUUCUUUAUUUCAACCCACUUAAUUUUCUACUUCUUUUUAGAUAUUACAGAUCUAAUUAAUUCAUAUUCCCAUAUCCUACAUAUUAUAUAUAAAAUGUUCCACACAAUCAAUUUUGGUCAAUGUAUAUAGGCUUUAAUCUAACUUUUCUAGAGUUGUAAUUUAAAAAUAAAAAAUUAUGUUACACGAUAUAUACUAAUAAUCAUAUGGCUUAAAAUUUUCAAAACUAUUUAAAAAAGUAAAGUUUUAAAUUGAUUGUAGUGUUUUUAUUAGCCUUGUUUGAUUGCAAUUGUUAUCUAGAACAACUUAAGUGAUUCUUCACACGGAAAAACGAGUAGGAAACGAAGUGGUGGAUAAUGUAUUAAAGAAAAGAUGGGAUAAGCAUAAAAAGGAAAAAAUAAAUGAAUAAUUAGGCAUGAUGGAGGAAUUGUAUGUGUGUAUAAAGUAAAGGAAAGAAAGUGGGAGGCAAUUGGGAUUUAUUUAAUGUAGGUUGGGUUGGGUGAUUGGAUUCCAUAUUGGUUUAUAUAUAUAUAUAUAUAUAUAUAUAAUAUAAUUUAUUCUAUGCUUAUUCAAAUUUGUAUGGAAUGUCACCAAUUUCAUCUUCUUUGUUAUUACUUCUCUAAGUGGGUUUCUAAAGUGCUUUCCCACUUACAAUGGCUUCUCUCUCUCUCUCUCUCUCUCUUUCUUAGAUUCAUUAACAAGAAUGAGAAUUUAGAUUCCAUGUCACUUCUCAACUUGCCCUAUGAUGCUAUUUUCUUUUUCUUCAUUUUCAAACCAUUUAUUAAAUUAAUUGUUGUAGAUAUGUCUAUUUUAUGAUCAUUUGAUUUUAAGCGUUCUAUAUUAGUACAAUAAUGACAACAAUUUUUUUCCAUGAAUAGCCUAGUAUCUUAUAUUAUUACAUAAAACUCCGUCUCAAAAGUUCAUAAUACCUAAUUUGAUUUAUAGUAUUUUCUAUUGGAAAAUAGAAAGAGAAACAAAUAUGGAAAAAUUGGGAAGCAAUGCGUCUUAAAAUAGUUUUUUCUUUUCAAAAUUUUCAUAACUUUUAAGCAAAAUUGCAUUCCCAUUGGGUUUUUUUGUCCAAUAAUUUUUUAAUGUUGACUUAAAAUUCAAAAUCGUCUUAUUUGGUGAGUUGGAAUUUUUUGAUUUCAGAUAUAUAUCAGAUUUAUUUCAAAUAAUACAUACAAGGUUUAUUUCAAAUAUAUUUAGAACAAUUACAGAUUUAAGGUUAUUAUAUAAUGUAUAUCAAUACCAUAUUCUAUAGUUUUUGUCUUCAUUCUACUUAAGAUAUAUAUUUCACUUUAUCACAUGUAUUUAAUAUAUUUAGUCAUUUUGCAAAUAUAUACUACAUUUUAUAUAAUAAUAAUAUUAGAGCAAAUUGUAAAAAUCAACGUUAAAACAUGAUAAUUGAAUUUCAAAAUUUAAGAGAUAAAUAUUAUUUAAGUCAAGGAAUAAAAUAAUACUCAUAAAACCAUAAACCAAAUAUUCAUUACAAGAUAUAGUAUUAAAUAUUGUUAAUUCAAUUUUAAUAUAUAAUAAAGUUUUAUUGCAAUUAAAUGUUAAGGAUUUUAAAACUUUAAUAAGGGAUAUAAUAAGUAUUAAGGUUAAAUUUCUCUAAAAUUAUGUCAAAAUGUAGAUAUGAAACAUAUUACAAUAUUAGGAAACUUAUCAAAUAUCAAGUUUAUUUUUUCUCAAAUUCCCUGGGGUACUUUGUAUACUUCUUAAAUUCUUAGCUAAGUUUUAAAAACUAUUUAUUCUAUAUAUUUCAAAUAUUUUGAUUGAAAAUUUUACACAUUAAUAAAUAGUAGAUAACAAAUGUCUAGUUAGUAAAUUUUUCUUUUUAGCUUUUGAAAAUUAAGUUUACCUUCUCACAUUUUCUUAUUUUUCAAGCAUAAGAAUCCAAUAAAGUUUCAAAAUUAUUUUUUGAUUAUAAAAAUUUAAAGUGAAAGAUGUAUUUGUAAUUUAAUUGAAAAAAGAAAAAAAUAAUAAUGACUAAAGAUAAAGUUAAGUUUAGUCUUUAUAUUUAUUAGGAAAAAAAGUCAGUCAUGUUUACUUUAAUUCUAACAAGAAUACUAAACGUAUACGAUUUAACUAUUGAGAUGAAAGUAUUGAAUUGUAAUAACACAAAAUAUAUUAAUUAAAAGGUAAGAAGAUUCUAAUUGUUUUCUUUUAAAUUUUUUUUUUGACAUGUUCAGAUUAAUUGAAUAUAUGAACUAUUUAAUUCAGUUCAUGAAUGAUACUUUGAUAUUUAAUUGAUAGUCUUUAUAUUUAAGUUUGUUAAUUUUAGUUAUUGUUAUUGCAUUAAUCUUAAAUUUAUUUAUUUAUUUAAAUCUUAUUUCUUUAUCAAAUCGGAUAAACAGUAAUAAUAUUUUUUUUUAGAAAAACGAAUAUAUUAAUAUUUGUAUUGAGUCUAUUGAUAAGAUUAUAUUAAUCUCUUUAUUAUAUAUAUACAAUGUGAUAUAUACUUGUUCCUAUCGAAUAAUUUUCCAAAAAAGAAAUAAUAUAACUAAACUUAAACUACACUAAUUUAAAAUGUCAAAAAGGGAAAAAAAGAGUGUGUAAAACACAUUUAAAAUGGGAACUUAUUAAAGUAAGAUUGAUACAAUUAUGCCUUGAUGUGAAGAAGGCAUUGGCUAAUGAAUAUAUUCUCAUUUCCAUGGUGAUGUAGUUAAAGUAUUAUUUUGUUCUUUAAAAAAAACAAUACCAAUUUUAACUAAUUCUUCAACGUUGUAGCAUCCAAAAAUGUUCAAAAUAAGUAGUUCAAUUGAUAUUAUAUUUAUACUAUCGACUUUAAAGUCAAUGAUUCAAUUUCUCACUCUAUAUAUUAUAAAAAGAAAAUAAUAAUAAUAAUAAAACAAUCAAAUUAUAGAUUCUACAAAGAUUGAUCUAUAAAGAGAUUAUUAAAAAAAUGAAAAACAACCCUCUUUUUACAUUUAUGAGUUGGUUCAAUAUUUCUUUUUAAAAUUUUAAAUUAUUGCUAGAAGGAUGACUCAAAAUUAUAGAUCUUUUAUAUAGUAAUAUAGUAAUGUUUUGAAUUAUUAAAUUCACUUUUAGAUUUUUUUUCUUUAGAAAAGAGAUAUAAGAAAAUAUAUAUCCUAUGCUAAAUUAGAAAACUUUUAAAUCAUGAAACUGCAAAAUAAUUAACCACGUUAAAUUGUAAGCAAUAAAAUAUUAAUAUUCCCAAUAAUGUAGGAGAGAAAAAUGUCUGAAAGUCUAAGUUAUCCCAAUCUAAAUAAUAAAAUAAAACAAAAUGAUUACAAUUGGCCACAAUUUUCAAAAAAAGAAAACAAAGGAGUUGAUUAUUUAAAAAACUAAUUCAAAAUUAAAAUCAAACCAACAUAUUUAAAACAAUCUACAUUUAGUUAUAUAAUUUAAAAUAAAAGCCAAAAUUCUUACCUUCCAUUAUCUCUUUUUCCAUAUUAUAGAUUCGAAUAUAUCUUCAUCCGUCGUUAAAAGAGGAUUGUAAUGUUUACAAUAUAUAUAUAUAUAUAUAUAUAAUGAGAAUGAGAAUAAAAAGUUAUUUUUUUCUAUUAAAAAAAAGAAAAGGUUGAAAGGCUUAGGACAAGUAGGAAGCCAUAUAUAUAUAAAUAAAAAAGUAAUGAAGCUAAUUAUGUGAUUAAAAGAAGGGUAGAAUUGGGUUGGAACCAAUAAGGAAAUGAAACGUGGCAAAUGGGACCAUAAUUUAAAUAGGGAAAAAUAGUUGCCUAGGAGUUGUAAACUGAUAAUAUUGACGUGGUGUGGUUAAUUAAAUAAUGUUUAGGGCUUGGGGGCAAGAUUUGUUGUGUUAAGGGCUCGUUUUGAGACUUCGAAAAGCCAUUUGGACGUGACUAUUGGAAAAUGAAACCAAACAACUUUUAAAUAUUAUUUAUUAUUCCACACUUUACUUUUUUUAUUUCUCAGAUGGAUCUCAACUUUUCAUACCUUUUUCUUUAUAUAUAUAUAAAAAAUACUUACCAUCUAAUUUUAUUUUCUUUCAAAUCAUAUACGUGUAUAUGUUAGACAUCCUUUUUUUCGUUCUAUUCCUCUUAUUUUUGUUAUUUGAUUCUGUUUACUAAAAUAUUCAGAUCGACUGAACUAAAAUUCUUAAAAUCUCUAUUUAUAUUUAAAGAUAUCGUAUUCUAAACUUUGAGCUGUAUUGCUAUUUGGUCUACAUUCUUAGUUGCAUUUACAAAAUGCUUAUAUGGUAUGAUUGCUAUAAUGAAAAAUAGAUAGCUGUGUAUGCUUAAACCAUGUUUGUUUUACAAGUAAUUUAAGUAAUGGUUGAAUUUGAAAGGGAAGAAAAAAAAAUACACAUUCAAUUAAAUUAAAAAAGAACAAAUCUUAACAGAGAAAAUAUCUUAUUUAUGAAAUAUUAUAAGAGAUCACAAAUCUAAAUAAUAAUAAUGAUGAUGAUUUGAGUACUUUUAUGAAUUAUUAUAAUUUUUAUCCAUUUAUUUCUUAAGUAUUAAUUGAUGUCAGAGAGUAAUAUUAUAGAAAUUGAUAGCUGUAUGAGUAUGAAUAUAAGUAAGUAUUUUUUGUAGACUUGAGUGAAACGUUGAAAAAGCAAAUCAAAAUUUAUUAUAACCCACCAAUAAAACAUGACAUUUCAAAUAAAUCUAAUUGAUGGAUGAAAUUAAUGCUCUACUAUUGUAACACCACUUUCUAUAACUUGUUUUCUUUUUAUCAACAAUAUAAUAUAGUUUCUUGUUAAUCUAAAAUGAUGAAUGUGACAAUUAAUUUAAUUAUAGGGUGACAUCAUUGUUCUUCUUUUUAAAAAAGUUUGCAGAGUUAGGAUAUCAAAAUGGUCCUAUUUCUUAUUUCAAGAUUUUGAAUCAAUAAAUUAUUAAUAAUACACAAAUUGAAUUGAAUUAGGUGACUAAUAUUUUAAAAAUCAAAAUUUAUGGGCUUCUAAGAAUAUUAAAUUUUAAUUAAUCAAAUGAUUAAUGUUGAUAAUUUAUGAGGAGCGGUCACUUUUACCAUUUACACUUCUAUAAACUAUUGUUGAAUUUUUGAUGAAGUGAUAUCUUCAUUUAAAAUAUAACUACAAUGAACUUUGUUGAUAUACUCUUAUUUUGAGGUACAAUUCACCAACUGUGGAAAUAAUAAUCAUGAAAAUAGUUGUACAUGUACAUUGCAUCCAUUUUUAAAUAUUAUGAAACUUAUUUUUUUUUAAAAAAAAUUAUGCAGUACAUAGUUAUGUUGAACCAACGAACUGAUCGAGUUUGUGAAAACAUUGAAAACAUUUCUAUAUUGGACUUUUACAAAAAAAUGAUGACAACCAUUUAAAAAGGUAUGAAUUUUUUUAUUUUUUUGAAAAAAUUAAAGAUGAUUAUUAUGCAAAAUCCAAUCCUAUAUAGGUUAAAGAAAUUUAUAUUUAUAACACUUUACAUUAGAAAUAUUUCUUUGAAGAUGGUUUUUAAACUAAUCAAUUUUUAGAUUUCUUUUUGAUAUCAUUUAUAUACAAACUUUAUUGAACACAAUUUCAUUUAAUUAAUUCUUUUUUUGUAAGUGUUCAUACAAAAGUUAAUCAUGUUUUCGCAAAGCUACUCUAAAUAUGUUUUUAUUUUUUAUUUUUUGAAUUAUAAAUUAUUGCAAACAUGCUUGCAAUCUAUUAUUUAUAUAUAUAUAUCUCGGACGUUAGACUUUGCUUGAUUGAUUCAAUUUUUAUUUUUUAUUUGCCUAGAUAAAAAUUGAUUGAAUUAAAUUCUUAAUUAGAAAAAUGAGAAGUUGUAGGUAUAUUUCAACUGCAUAUAAGAGGAAUGAUAUUUGGUUGUAUUUUGGAUAAAAUUGAAAUCAUAUUAAUGUGCCCUAAAUACUUUGGGGCCGGGUUUGAGGUAUAUUGUUUAUGAUUAAAUUUGUGAUGAGUGUUUUGAAUUCUAUAAUUGACUCAAUGCACUCUCUGUUAAAUUAACCACACAUUCUUUCUUUCUUUUAUAUUUUUUUACAACGUAAAACUAUUUUGAAAUAAUUAGUAUUGUUAUUGCUUUUGGUAAAGUAAAUUAACCACAUCAUGGAGAUUAAAGAUACAAGGGACUUCCGUAAAAGAGGAGUAGUUCAAAAAGGAAUGUUUUCAACAAUUAUUUGUUCGUGAAAGAAUAAAAUUAACAUCGACCUUGACCUUUGAGUUUUCACGUUUGUUACACACUUUAGGCUGUAUAUGCUUUCAUUUUUUAUUCUCCUUUAAUUUGAGACAUCAUUUUUAGUCAACACAACCAUUUUAUUUGAUGUCAUGACCCUUUCUUCCUCUGCUUGUAUUUAGAGAACAAACAAACAUGCACGGGCCACUUGUUACAAAUAGAGAGAGAGAGAGUGAGAGAAAACCCUACUUUUGCUAAAUAAUCUAAAUUUAACAACUAAAAUUGCUAUAAAAUGGUCUUCUCCUUUCCUCACACCAUAAAGCCCAUAACAAAAAAAAAAAAAGACUUACAGAAAGCUAAAACUAAAAAAUGGCAAAAAACAUUAUGGUUGUUUUCUUUAUGUGCAUUGUUGUGAUGGGAUCACUACAAUUCUCCAAGGCACAGACGACCGCUAACAUGAGCCCAGAUCUUCAGGCGGCCGAGAAGAUCAAAAGUAUCACCGAAGGAAUGAAACUAUGGCCUCAAAUGGAAUCAUGUGUACUAACAUGCAGGAAAGAAUGUGAUGCAAAAGGCGAUGCCAAUGCUUCAUGUCAUCAGAAAUGCAACAAUGAUUGCACGGAAAAGACUAUUGGUAUUUUCUUCAAUCUCAACAGAAAUGUUUGUUUUCUUUAAGACAAUAAUUAAUUUUUUAAGUGAGAUAAAUUUUAGUUGCAAGGCAAAAUUUAACCUUUAUUCAUGAAAUUAGUGGGUUUGAUAAGAUUCGCAUUCCUUACUUUAAUAGUUUUGAUGCUAGAAAUUGAGGGAAUCGUAGAGUCGAAAUUUUAGAAUGAAAACUCAUCCAAAAAAAAUUUGAUUGUUUAUUUCUUUCAACUUAAUGUUUUUUUUUUUUUGUUAAUUUGAUUUUUUAUUCAUUUGUUUUGCAGCAUCAGUCAAGAACUAACUUCCCAUUGAUAAUUGACCAUGGAAUUAUUAAAGCAGAGAUCGGGAAAAUGAUCGGAUCAAGUAUAAAUUAUUUGAAUAAUUAGCAUUUCAACAAGGAAAAUCUAAAUUCCUUGACCCUCUUGUCGUCCAAUUUUAUUGCUUAUUUAUACAAAGGUUUUAUCCUUACAUAUCGUUGUGUGCUUCUUUCAUAAUUGUUGUCAACAACGAGAUCAAUAAAAUUCAUUUAGUUUAAGUGUUUAUUCACGUAACCUUUCUAUCAUUUUACAUUUAUUAUAUAAUCCUAACGUAUAGAAGAAAUUUUAUAAAUAUAUUACAGUACUAUUCAAGUUGCGAGUUCUUUUGUCACAUGUGUUUGUUUAAUAUUCAUUUGUAGUUUUUGAUAUAUUAUUAAAGUGAUAUGAUAUGUUCUACUGCUUUUAUUUUAAUUACAAUUUCAACAGAAGUUUAUAAUUUUCAAUUGGUAUUUCAUAGCCUUUGGAUUGGAAAAAAAAAUAAAGAGAAAAUUGGAGACGGGGAGAUGGGUUGAGAAAAUUAGGAAAUUGGUGAAGAACAUAUGAAGGGAGAAAUUGAUUAAAGAAACAAAAAAAAUGUUAUUAGGUAAACAUCCAUUGAAAUUUAUUCUUAAUUACAUGAAGAUUCAUUUUUAUUUUAAUCAUGAUUGAUACAAAUUUCCAUUCUAUUCUAAUCGUGAUUGUUUCGUUCUCCUCUAUUUUUAUUUCAAAAGUAAAAUAAAAAAUUCAUUUCUUGUAUUUGACACUUUGAUUAAAAUUAAUUAAUCUUUGUUAGCUUCAAUUUUAAUACAACCAAAGUUUUUAGCUUUAAAAAAUUCAUUACAAAUGAGGCUCCAGUGCAUAUACAUCACUUUGUAUUAGAAAUCUUCUUCGUAUAUAUAAAACAAAACAAACACUAUUGAAAAUUGUUGUGAAUAAUAUUCAUAUGAAUUAUACUUCAAAACCUCAUGCAAACUUCUGAUUUUAGUUACCAAAUUAUAAACCUUACAAUUCUCCUUUUCUUAGGCUUAUACUUAAUUCCCAAAUCUCUCCUAUAGAUGAGACUAAAGUACACUGGCACAUCAAAGAUUGAGUUUCAAUUUUAGGUACAAUCGGAUAACUAACUGAGAAUCCGACUUUGAGAUAUUCCAUUUAUUUAGAGGAAAAUUUGUUGCAAUUUCGUCCAAGAAAAUAAAUCUCAAAUAUAUUCGUCAUUCACACGAAUACCUCUAGGAUGAUCACGUUUUGUUAGAUCAUAGGGGAUAAUUAAUUUUUGUUGGUUUAUUUAUUUAUCUAUUAUAAAACAUCCGCCUCCAUCAUAAAUUUAGAAUGGUGCCAAAAGUCACGAAAGUUCACAUCUAACUACUGGGUGGCCUCAUUUUGAGAGUUAUUAAGAUUUAUUGCCCAUAAAUGCGGAAGAAAAUAUACCAGAGAGUCAGUUUUUAUUUUCAUCCCAAAACGUUGAAGAAAAGGUCAAUGCUAUAGUCUGCGAAGAAAUGACCCAAUCUAGAAUGGUGCCAAAGGUCUCGAAAGUUCACAUCAAACUACUGGGUGGCCUCAUGUUGAGUGACAUUAUAGUUUCUUGCCAACAAAAGCCGAAAAAAUAUACCUGAGAGUCGGUUCUUAUUUUGGUCCCAAAACGUUUAAAACUGAGUCAAUGCUAUAGUCUGCGAAGAAAAGACCCAAUUUAGAACGAUGCCAAAGGUCUCGAAAGUUCACAUCUAACUACUGGGUGGUUUCAUCUUGAGUGACAUUAAAGUUUCUUGCCCAUAAAAGUCAAAGAAAAUAUGCCCGUAAGUUGAUUUUAAUUUUCGUCCCAAAACGUUGAAAAAAGGGCCAAUGCUACAUCCUGAGAAGAAAGGACCCGAUUUAGAACAGUGCCAUAGGUAUCAAAAGUUCACAUCUAACUACUGGGUGGUCUCAUCUUGAGUGACAUUAAAAUUUCUUGUCCAUAAAAGUCGAAGAAAAUAUGCCGUAAGUCGAUUUUUAAUUUCGUCCCAAAACGUUGAAAAAAGGGCCAAUGCUACAGCCUGAGAAGAAAGGACCCGAUUUAGAAGAGUGUCAUAGGUAUCAAAAGUUCGCAUCUAACUACUAGGUGGUCUCAUCUUGAGUGACAUUAAAGUUUCUUGUCCAUAAAAGUCGAAGAAAAUAUGCCCGCAAGUCGAUUUUUAUUUUCGUUCCAAAACGUUGAAAAAAUGGCCAAUGCUACAGCCUGAGAAGAAAGGACCCGAUUUAGAACAGUGUCAUAGGUAUCAAAAGUUCACAUCUAACUACUGGGUGGUCUCAUCUUGAGUGACAUUAAAGUUUCUUGCCCAUAAAAGCAUAAGAAAAUAUGCCUGAGAGUCGGUUUUUAAUUUCGUCCCAAAACGUUGAAAAAAGGGCCAAUGCCAAAAUCUGAGAAUAAAGGACCAACUUAGAACGGUGCCAAAGGUCUCGAGGGUUCACAUCAAAUUACUGGGUGGCCUCAUGUUGAGUGACAUUAUAGUUUCUUGCCAACAAAAGCCAAAAAAAUAUGCUUGAGAUUCGUUUCUUAUUUCGGUCCCAAAACGUUGAAAAAUGGGCCAAUGCUAUUGCCUACGAAGAAAGGACCCAAUUUAGAUCGGUGUCGAACGUCUCGAAAAUUCACAUCUACCUACUGGAUGAUCUCGUUUUGAGUGACAUUAAAGAUUCUUGCCCAUGAAAGCCGAAGAAAAUAUGCCGAGAGUCGGUUUUUAAUUUCGUCCCAAAAUGUUGACGAAAGGGCCAACGCUAUAACUUGCAAAGAAAUGACCCAAUUUACAACGUUGUCAAAGGUCUCGAAGGUUCACAUCUAACUACUGGGUGACCUCAUGUUGAGUGACAUUAAAGUUUCUUGCCCACAAAAGCCGAAAAAAAUAUGUCUGAGAGUCGAUUCUUAUUUUGGUCCUAAAACGUUGAAAAAUGGGCGAAUGUUAUAGCCUACGAAGAAAUGACCCAAUUUAGGACGGUGCCGAAGUCUCGAAAAUUCACAUCUAACUACUAGGUGAUAUCGUUUUAAGUGACAUUAAAGUUUCUUCCCACAAAAAGCCGAAAAAAAUAUGUUCGAGAGUCGACUUUUAUUUUAAUCCUGAAAUGUUGAAAUAGGAGCCAAUGCUAUAGCCUACGAGAAAAGGAUCCAAUUUAGAAUGAUGCCGAAGUUCUGGAAAAUUCAUAUUUAACUACCGUGGUCUCGUUUUGAGUGACAUUAAAGUUUCUUGGCCACAAAAGUAAAAAAAAAAAAAAAAAAGCCCGAGAGUCGGAUUUUACUUUCGUCCGAAAACGUUGAAAAAUGGGUCAGUGCUAUAACUGACGAAAAAAAGGACUCAAUUUAGAACGGUGCCAAAGGUCUAAAAAAUUCACAUCUAACUACUGGGUGGUCUCGUUUUGAGUGACAUUAAAGUUUCUUUCCCACAAAAGACAAAAAAAAAAAAAAAUGUCUAGGAUUCGAUUUUUACUUUAGUUCUAAAACGUUAUAAAAGGGGCGAAUACUAUAGCCUACGACGAAAGGACCCAAUUUAGAACGGUACCAAAGAUCUCGAAAAUUUACAUCUUAACUAUUGGGUGAUCUUGUUUUAAGUGACAUUAAAGUUUCUUGCCCCAAAAGUCGAAAAAAAAUAUGCCCGAGAGUCGGUUUUUACUUUCGUCCCUAAAACGUUGAAAAAUGGGCAAAUGCUAUAGCCUACGAAGAAAUGAUCCAAUUUAGAAUGGUGCUACAGGUCUGACAAAUUGAAUCUAACAACUGGUUGGUCUCAUUUUGAGUGACAUUAAAGUUUUUUGCCCACAAAAGUCGAAAAAAAAAUAUGUCCGAGAGUCGGUUUUCACUUUCAGCCAAAACAUUGAAAAAUGGGGCCAAUGCUAUAGUCUACCAGGAAAGGACUCAAUUUAGAACGGUGUCAAAGGUCUCAAAAAAUCACAUCUAACUACUGGAUGGUCUCGUUUUGAGUGAGAUUAAAGUUUUUUGCCCACAAAAGCCGUAAAAAAAUAUGCCAGAGAGUCGAUUAUUACUUUCGUCCCAAAACAUUGAAAAAAGGGCAACGUUAUAGCCUGCGAAGAGAGGACCCAAUUUCGAACGGUGUCAAAAGUCUCCAAGGUUUACAUCUAACAACUGGGUGGCCUCAUGUUGAGUGACAUUAAAGUUUCUUGUGUACAAAAGUCGAAAAAAAAUAUGUCUGAGAGUCGGUUCUCAUUUUGGUUCCAAAACGUUGAAAAAAGUGUCAAUGCUAUAGCCUACGAAGAAAAGAUCCAAUUUAGAACGGUGCCGAAGGUCUCAAAAAUUCACAUCUAACUACUCGGUGGUCUCGUUUUAAGUGACAUUAAAGUUCUUUGUCCACAAAAGCCGAAAAAAAAAAAGUCUGAGAGUUGAUUUUUAAUUUCGUCCCAAAACGUCAAAAUAAGGGACAAUGCAGCCCACGAAAUAAAGAUCAAAUUUAGAAGAAUGUCGAAAGUCUCGAAAAUUCAUAUCUAACAAGUGAGUGGUCUCGUUUUGAGUGACAUUAAAGUUUGUUGCACACAAAAGCCAAAAAAAAAAACAAAACCCAAAGUCGAUUUUUAUUUUUGCUCCAAAACGUUAUAAAAGGGGCCAAUGCUAUAGCCUAUGAAGAAAGGACCCAAUUUUGAACGGUGCCAAAGUUUUCAAAAAUUCACAUAUACCUACUGGGUUGUCUCGUUUGAGUGACAUUAAAGUUUCUUGCCCACAAAAGCUGAAAAAAAUAUGCCCGAGAGUCGAUUUUUAUUUUCGUCCAAAAGCGUUGAAAAGUUGGUCAAUGCUAUAGCCUACGAAGAAAGGUUGCUUGUAUGUAGAAAAUGUUCCAUGUAUUCUUGCAUUUCUUUGUUGAACCACCUGCCCUCUACAAAACAAACCAUUUGGACGGUAAAAGUAUUACCUUUCUCUUUUAGUAACAAUUUUAAGAUCAGUUUACUUUCAAUUGGUAAUUCAUACUGUAAAGAGAAAAAUGAAAGUUUGUUAAGAUGAUAGAAGAAUAUUCGUCUUUGAAUGCAAAAUAAUAAAGAGAAAAUUCGAGAUGGGGAGAUGGGUUGGAAAAAUUAGGAAAUUGGUGAAAGAUAUAGGAAGGGAGAAAAUGGUAAAAAGAAAAAAAAAGAACGUUCUUAGGUAAAAAUUGAUUGAAUUAAAUUCUUAAUUAGAAAAAUGAGAAGUUGUACGUAUAUUUCAACUGCAUAUAAGAGGAAUGAUAUUUGGUUGUAUUUUGGGUAAAAUUGAAAUCAUAUUAAUGUGCCCUAAAUACUUUGGGGCCGGGUUUGAGGUAUAUUGUUUAUGAUUAAGUUUGUGAUGAGUGUUUUGAAUUCUAUAAUUGACUCAAUGCACUCUCUAUUAAAUUAACCACACUUCUUUCUUUCUUUUAUUUUUUUACAACGUAAAACUAUUUUGAAAUAAUUAGUAUUGUUAUUGCUUUUGGUAAAGUAAAUUAACCACAUCAUGGAGAUUAAAGACACAAGGGACUUCCGUAAAAGAGGAGUAGUUCAAAAAGGAAUGUUUUCAACAAUUAUUUGUUCGUGAAAGAAUAAAAUUAACAUCGACCUUGACCUUUGAGUUUUCACGUUUGUUACACACUUUAGGCUGUAUAUGCUUUCAUUUUUUAUUCUCCUUUAAUUUGAGACAUCAUUUUUAGUCAACACAACCAUUUUAUUUGAUGUCAUGACCCUUUCUUCCUCUGCUUGUAUUUAGAGAACAAACAAACAUGCACGGGCCACUUGUUACAAAUAGAGAGAGAGAGAGUGAGAGAAAACCCUACUUUUUGCUAAAUAAUCUAAAUUUAACAACUAAAAUUGCUAUAAAAUGGUCUUCUCCUUUCCUCACACCAUAAAGCCCAUAACAAAAAAAAAAAAAAAAGACUUACAGAAAGCUAAAACUAAAAAAUGGCAAAAAAACAUUAUGGUUGUUUUCUUUAUGUGCAUUGUUGUGAUGGGAUCACUACAAUUCUCCAAGGCACAGACGACCGCUAACAUGAGCCCAGAUCUUCAGGCGGCCGAAAAGAUCAAAAGUAUCGCCGAAGGAAUGAAACUAUGGCCUCAAAUGGAAUCAUGUGUACUAACAUGCAGGAAAGAAUGUGAUGCAAAAGGCAAUGCCAAUGCUUCAUGUCAUCAGAAAUGCAACAAUGAUUGCACGGAAAAGACUAUUGGUAUUUUCUUCAAUCUCAACAGAAAUGUUUGUUUUCUUUAAGGCAAUAAUUAAUUUUUUAAGUGAGAUAAAUUUUAGUUGCAAGGCAAAAUUUAACCUUUAUUCUUGAAAUUAGUGUGUUUGAUAAGAUUCGCAUUCCUUACUUUAAUAGUUUUGAUGCUAGAAAUUGAAGGGAUCGUAGAGUCGAAAUUUUAGAAUGAAAACUCAUCCAAAAAAAAUUGAUUGUUUAUUUCUUUCAACUUAAUGUUUUUUUUUUUUGUUAAUUUGAUUUUUUAUUCAUUUGUUUUGCAGCAUCAGUCAAGAACUAACUUCCCAUUGAUAAUUGACCAUGGAAUUAUUAAAGCAGAGAUCGGGAAAAUGAUCGGAUCAAGUAUAAAUUAUUUGAAUAAUUAGCAUUUCAACAAGGAAAAUCUAAAUUCCUUGACCCUCUUGUCGUCCAAUUUUAUUGCUUAUUUAUACAAAGGUUUUAUCCUUACAUAUCGUUGUGUGCUUCUUUCAUAAUUGUUGUCAACAACGAGAUCAAUAAAAUUCAUUUAGUUUAAGUGUUUAUUCACGUAACCUUUCUAUCAUUUUACAUUUAUUAUAUAAUCCUAACGUAUAGAAGAAAUUUUAUAAAUAUAUUACAGUACUAUUCAAGUUGCGAGUUCUUUUGUCACAUGUGUUUGUUUAAUAUUCAUUUGUAGUUUUUGAUAUAUUAUUAAAGUGAUAUGAUAUGUUCUACUGCUUUUAUUUUAAUUACAAUUUCAACAGAAGUUUAUAAUUUUCAAUUGGUAUUCAUAGCCUUUGGAUUGGAAAAAAAAAAUAAAGAGAAAAUUGGAGACGGGGAGAUGGGUUGAGAAAAUUAGGAAAUUGGUGAAGAACAUAUGAAGGGAGAAAUUGAUUAAAGAAACAAAAAAAGAAUGUUAUUAGGUAAACAUCCAUUGAAAUUUAUUCUUAAUUACAUGAAGAUUCAUUUUUAUUUUAAUCAUGAUUGAUACAAAUUUCCAUUCUAUUCUAAUCGUGAUUGUUUCGUUCUCCUCUAUUUUUAUUUCAAAAGUAAAAUAAAAAAUUCAUUUCUUGUAUUUGACACUUUGAUUAAAAUUAAUUAAUCUUUGUUAGCUUCAAUUUUAAUACAACCAAAGUUUUUAGCUUUAAAAAAUUCAUUACAAAUGAGGCUCCAGUGCAUAUACAUCACUUUGUAUUAGAAAUCUUCUUCGUAUAUAUAAAACAAAACAAACACUAUUGAAAAUUGUUGUGAAUAAUAUUCAUAUGAAUUAUACUUCAAAACCUCAUGCAAACUUCUGAUUUUAGUUACCAAAUUAUAAACCUUACAAUUCUCCUUUUCUUAGGCUUAUACUUAAUUCCCAAAUCUCUCCAUUAGAAGAGACUAAAGUGCACUGGCACAUGCACAUCAAAGAAGAGGUCAUCUAUAUAUAUAGAAAAAAUAAUAUAGAAUACGUAUAAUCCAUCCCACAAAUUUUUUUUCUUCAUACAGAAAAUAAUAAAUUUUGAUAGAUUACUUGUAUUUAAUAUAUUGAAAUGUUUGAAAUUAAAGUUUGAUUAUGGUUUAAUUAUGAUGAUUAAAAGGGUAUAGAAUAGAUAUAAAAAUAAGGGUCUUUUUUGGUUUUGUAGGGGAAAUAGAAUGGUGAAGGGUGAAGGGUGAAGGGUGAAGGGGGGGUUUUGUUUUGUGUAAAUUUAAAUGUGUAUUUGUGUUUAAAAGAAAAUUGGUUGCUUUUGUGGGCAAAGUAUUCGGAUUUGAGAGGGAAAUAUUGAAUUCCAUUUAAGGAAAGUGAUUGGGUUCCGUUUUGGUGCAUUAGUCAAUUUUCAAAAUUCCAAAAAUUAAAGUUGAUUGAAGGAGAGAGAUAUUGUGAGAAUUAAAACCCAUUCCCCAUUGGGACACAAUUUGACAUCACACUUCAUUUCCACCAUUAUUAGUUCUUUUUUUCUUUUAAGAAGUUCUUUUUUCAAUAUUUCAUUUCAAUAUUUUAUUGGGCGAGAGAAUAAUCAUUAAGGUUAAUGACAACUGUCUCUGUUAAUACGACAUAUUUUGGGAUAAAACUAAAAGCAAAGUUAUGUAGGUGUAUAUUCAAAGUAGACAAUAUCAUAUCAUUAUGGACAUGUGAAUGAGUUAUCUAGAAAACGUGUCCUUUCCUUUAUCAUAAGAACUUAAUUAUCCAUGUUGAACUCUUUUUCGUUGCUUAUAUAUAUUUAUCCUUAAAAACACAUGCUCUCAUAUAUUCUUAAUAGAUAAGAUUUCACUAAAGAACUAAAAAUGAAACUAAUUAUAAAAACAAUAAACAUUCCACUUUGUUAAAGAGAUGUCAAGAACAAUGAGACUAAUAAUGAUAAUUAAAGAAAAAUGUUCAUAUUAAACAAAGGGUAUAGGGAAGUGAUCAUAACUUAAUCUCAAAGCUUCCUCUUCCCCAUUCAUGCAUAACACUUUUCAUUCCACACUAUUAAUUGAGUAAUCCUAUUGAUUAGGAAAUAAACAAUCACAAUAUGAAAGUUAAGCUCAAUGGAGUCCAAACCAAGUUAUAAACCUAAUCAUGUCAUGAGGGCAAUUAUUAUGCUGCAAGUUUCAAUGACGGGUUACAAACAAAAUAAUUAAAAGACUACGUAUCAAUUAUAUUGUGGAAUGCUCACUUUGAAGCUAAGUUAUCUAUCAAAGUUUAAGAGUCCAAUUCAUAUUCAAGUUUGAUACGGCAAUUCAGAGUAUUGUUCAUAUUAACGGAAGUCAAUUAUUCAAAUUCUAAUAAUCUAACUUCAUUCACUUUUUUAAAUGUUUUACUUAAUUUAAUUUGUAUAUUUUUCAUUCACGAAGGUUCACAUAUGAAAUAGAAAAUUUUGUUGGAAUUUUUUGUCCUAAAACUCGUAGUUUGUAAAUCAUAUUCUAUUCAAUAAAGUUGUUAUUGAGAAAUUAAAAUAUUAUAAUCUUAAAUCCAAUAAAUCAAAGUUCCAAGGCUAUUUUUUGAAUAAACUUGAACUUUAUGUGUAAACAUAAACGUGGAUCAAGUUCGAGUAUAUAGCCUAAAUAGUCUAUAGUAUAUGAAAUAAAGGUUGGGCGCCUUAUUUUGAGAGACUAUGGAUGCGGCCCACUUUGUAGUACAAACGAUGUGAUCCUAAUCGUUCAUGUAGAGACAUGAAAGUGGGGGCAUCCUAUGUAAAAUGUUUACAUAAGACUGAACCAUGAAUUAGUCAUUUUUACGUUAUAACACCGUUUACUGUUUAAAACUGACUAUCUCAAUUAUUGAUGACCUAGGUAACUUAGUCUUAAUCCUGAGUUAACUAUGAACUCCUGUUCAUACGAGAUUAUCUUUAGAUCUGCAUAGGUGAGGGCAGCUCAUCAGCGUUGGCCCAAUAAGCCUCCCAUUUCAGGGGUAAGAUCGGGUGGAUAGCUGGGAACAUAGGGUACAAGAUGGAAUUCACUCCUACCCGCUUUAGGGUUAGUAGAUAGGUUGCUCUCUUAAGCACUGAAUCCAAGUCUUGAACAAGGGGCCCCACCCUCUCAUUGGCCCGAGAGGGAUUAAGUUUAUAGGUUGAACCUUAAACCAAUUGUUCAAUAGUGGAUUAGUGGGACUUAAGGAGCAAGAUGUAAUCCUGGGGGUAAAACGGUAUUUUGACCCAGCCAAGGUUACGAGCAACCUGUGAAGGAUUAACUUACUGAUUAUGGUUUUAUCAAAUGGACACAAAUAUAUCUAUAGUGAGGGGAGUGCAACUACGGGACUUUAGUGGAAUGACCCGUUAGUUAACGAAUGUUGAUUAACUCGGUUUAAAAGAGUUUAGCUAGUUAAUCUUGAAUCGUUGGAGCCCAUGAUCUAUAGGUCCAUUAGGUUCCUCUGCUAGCUCAUAUGGAUUAAACUUAGAACAGUGUGAUGAAAUAAGUCGAAUUGUUCGAAUAGGGAGAAGAAAGGAAAACCGACAUAUACAGUGAUAUAAUCGUCGGUCUUCUAAUUAGAAAUAGAGCUUUAUGUUUUACAUACUAUAAGUAUGAAUGCGGAUUCAUACUAAGAAGCUCGGAAUUGGUCAAAAAUAGUAAAAAGUCAAAAUGUUGACUUUUGACUUUGAAAAGUCAAACUUUGACCGGCCUUAUAUUCAAAUGUGAUUUGAAUUUUGGAAAAAUGAAUGCGGAUUCAUGCUCGGGAGGUUGGAAUUAGUCAAGACGGACAAAAUGGUAAAAAGUCAAAAUAUUGACUUUUGACUUAGAAAAGUCAAAGUUUGACUUUUGACUAGAAAAAUCUAAUGACCAUUUUACCCUUGGACUAAGUUAGUGGGAAAAUCCAACAUUUUGUUGGAUAAUCCCACUAACUCUUAGUGGGAUAUGUGGCUAUAUGAGAUAUAGACACCUAGCCCACUAAGUUCCACUAAUUGUUAGUGGAAUAUUAGGUGUUGAGAUUUGGCAAUUGAAUUGCAUGCAUUUUUGCAUGUAAUUAGGCUAUAAAUAGAGAUGUUUUCAAAUGUUGAAGGACUUUUGCCUCUUUUAUCAUUUUCAUAAUCUCAACAAAAGAAAAAAAAAAAAGCUUCCAAUCUCAUUUUAUCUCCACUACUUUCUACACCAAAAUUGGGUCCCACAACCCGGUUCUUUGUCUAGAGGAUAGCAGUUGAGUACUAGUGGUGGUCUCGGGUAGAAUUGGUAAGAAGACAUCAAACCUUUUGAAAGCUUCAAAGGUAAUACUUCUUAAAACCCUAAUUUGAUUAGUUUAUGGUUACAUGUUAAUUGUGGCAAUUAGGGUAGAAAUUCGAUUCUUUUUCCGCUGUGCAUGACUUAGUUCUAUCAAAUUUCAUAUUGAACUUUAAUCUCUUUCGAACUUUAUAGUCUUUUUCUUCCUUCACUUUCAAUUUUAGUAUGAUCUAUUAGAUCGUUAAAAUUUCAAAGUUUAACUUAAUAAAAUUGUUAAAUGAUAUAUAACAUUCAAUUUACGAAUAUGUUAACUUAAACUUUUAAGUCAAUUUAUGAUUAACAAGUUCUCAUUUCUCAUUGAUGAUUGAUCAUAUUUCUAAAUAAAAUGUACAAUUGUGUCGUGAUCUUAUUAUUUUAGAUAUUCUUCUCAUUGGUGUGGAGAUUCGCUUAGAAUAAGAGAUAUAUAGGGUGUGUUUGGUUGAGAUUCUAAAGUGAUUAAUUUUGCCAAAAAAACUAUUUUGAAAAAAAUGGUAGUGUUUGGCAAAUUAAAAUAAUGUAUUUUUUAAAAAUUCAUUUAUAAAAUAAUGUAUUUUAAAGAAAUCUUUAAAAACCAAAAUCAUAUAUAAACAAUUAUAAAAAAAAUCUAACCAAACAUUAAAUGUUUAAAUUUUAAACUCAUUUUCGAAAAAGUAUUUAAAAUGAAAUGUAUUAUUGAAAAACAUUAUGUUUUUAAUUCAAUCAAAACGGACCCUUAAUCCAUAAUCAACACAACACUUCAUUGAAUCUUCUUUCCAACAAAAUAAAUAACAAAAAUUUGUAAGUUUUUGUCUUAAAUAAUUAACUUUUUAUUAUUAUUAUAAUCCUUUCCAAUUAUUUCUUUACUGAAUCUCUGAAAAUGCAACAAAACAAGAAAAAAACAUAUAUUUUUGGAAUUAACAAAUUGAACUACAAAUGAAAAAAAAUAAAUAAUACAAUUUCUCUAUGAAUUGAAUUUACUGUAAUAAUUUCAAAAACAUAUUUUACAUGAAGAAAAAAAAUAAUAUAAUUUAUUCUGUGUAUUUGAUUUAAUGUAAAAAAUUUCACUUUUGUAGUUGCUAACAAAAAAUAUUUAUACAAAAUGAACAAAAAGAAUUAAUGUAAAAUUUGGGUGUAUUUGAAUUAGGGUAUAACUAAAGAAAAUGAACUUGUGAUAGGAACAACAACAAAAUUCUACACAAAUGCAAAAAAUGUUCACAUUUUACAUUUUAUAUUGAAUUCAUAAAAAAAGAAAAAACAAGAAUUUCAUUUUUUAUUUUCACAAUUAUUUUGGUACACUUUUUUUACACAAAUGAAAAAAAAAAUACAAUCUUUUUAUCGUAAUCCUUCUUCCAAAUAAAUAUUAUAAAUAAUUCUCCAUAAUCUUCUCACAAACAAUAAUUAUAAUAAUAAUUUCCUUUUCAUAAACCCUCUCUUUAUUCCUUUCCUCCCAUCUUCCUUUCCUUUUCUCCCCCAAAAUAUUCUUCUAAAAGAGGAUUCUCAAAGAAUAUGUUUUCCGCCACGUCGGUUCCAUUCUCAGCCACCCUUCUUCUUCGCCACGUGUGCUUGAUUCGUUGGGCCUCCCUAAGGGCCCAAAUGUGUAGUCCGCCUCGACAGUAAGCCCAGAAUGAUGAAUCAAAAUCACAGUUUAUAUAAAAAUUGAAUUGAGAAAAUUAAUUAAUUGAAAAUCAUUAACAAUACUUACAAAAUAAAUCAUGGAAUUUAGGAGAGAUGAAUCUAUUCUGUUUUUCUAUACGGAAAUGAAUCAAUUUACUCUUGCCUAAUACCAAAUAUUGUGUGCAUUUUUAUUGGUUCCCCAUUCCAAAUUAUUCCAAAUUCAUUCCCUUUUUAAAAUCACUCCUUUACAUUUUUUAAAUAAGGAGAAAAUAUCUUUUCUUUUGAUUCACUUUAAAACCUCAAAUUUUCACUCACUUUUGUCUUUAGCUGCUGUUUAUUAAUUUUGUUUCACUACUUAAAUAAUAAAUGAUAAAUCUUACUUCGUAAUUAUUUUUAAAUAAUUAAUAGACACUAAUAGUAAUGAUUAAAAGUGAAAAUAAUAAUAAAUAAAAUAAACAAGGUUAAAAAAUAAAAUAACCAAGGUUUAAAAUGUAAUGAAAAAUUAAACAAAUAAAAUAACCAAAGUUAAAACGUAAAUCAUGGAGUCAAAUCGAUCAAAUUGAAACGAUACUGUAAAUUUGAAAAUUAAUCUCAAAACUUAAAAAAAAAAAGACUAAAUGUGUAAUAUUUUUUAAAUCAAAGGACCAAGCCUAACCCCAAACAUUUGCCAAAAUCAAGGAAGCACUUUCCUUUUUUUCUUAGAAAAAUGGUGUCAUUAGUUGAUACAAAUUUCAUUAAAAUUGUCUGGAAAAAUAAACAAAAAGAAUUUGAAUAUUCAGGAACCAUAGAAAUGUUUCAAAGUUUUGCAAGGAUGCAGUGAAAACAUCAGGCAUCAACUAAAGCUUAACUUGAAUCAAUGCAAGAAGUACACGUACUAACAUAAAUAUAUAACUAUAUAUAUACACACAUGCCCAUACCCUUACCUUGUGUUAUAUUAGAAUGAUGUCAAUAUAAUGAUAUUCCAAGUUGUCUGCUCUCUGUCCAUCAUCAGCCUUCUGACCUUUAGAGUUACCAACUCAAGAACUUGGAGAAUCAAACCUCCAAGCCAAUUCAAAGAAUCUAAUGCUGUGGGUCAGGUUUAUACUUUAUUAAAGUCAACUCUCGUAAGAAUCGAUUCAAAAAAGGUUCUAGAACUAGAUGGUCAAGACCAUGGCAAUGGAGGCAACAAACAGGGAAGAAGAUUUGGGGUCGAUGCAAAAAUGACCAAAAUGAAGAAGAGAAGGGGCUGAUGAGGAUGAAGGCGAUGAACGGCUACCAAAGAAAAGGAAGAGAAACCUGCGUAACAAAAGUUCUUCCACUGCAAAUUCUGAACUUGGAGCACAGAAGAAUAUUAUAUAUUCAUAGCCUAGAAAAUUAGCAUAAUAAUAGUACAAAAUAAUAGGCAUCUUAUCAUCACUCUUCUGAAUAUUUUAAGCACUGGACUCAGCUGAGAAGUUUGGUUAGUCCUAAAUAUUCAACCAAUGUCUUAAAAGGACUUCAAUUAACUCUAUCACUUCCAAGAGGACUUCACAAAAAUAGUAAUUAUAAAUAAGAGACUUCAAUUAACUCUAUCACUUCCAAGAGGACAGAAAGGGGGCCUCUAAAUAUUCAACCAAUGUCUUAAAAGGAUUAAAUUACCCGACAAAAAAAGACAUCACAAAAAUAGUAAUUAUAAAUAUAUAUAUAUAUAUAUACAAAUAAAUAUAUAUAUAUAUAUAUAUAUAUACACACACACGAAACUUUAAAAAGAUUAAAAAUGAUAAUAUUGACAAAAGUGAAGUAUAAAACACAAGGCUGGUGCCAAUCAGCAGGUCCUUACUACAUAAAACUAAAACGAGGGGUGGAAAGAAGAAAAGUAAAGGGAAAAAAGGAAAAAAAAGAAAAAGAAAGAAAAGGAAAAACGGUAAGAGGAAACGAAAAGGGUUUGUUGGAAAAGGUAUCAAAGCCAAAUUAGCCCAAAUGAAGCUCUUAACAUAAACUCUCCCAAAAGUACAGGAUCAUUCAUCCACAAGUUCAGCAGCACCUCAAACGCAAAUAUGGAUUCCCAAGCAUCUAAAAGAAAUAAGACAACGCAAACUAAUAAUCUGGCCUGUCAAAUGAAUACUCCCAUCAAAACAAUGAAGUUGAAGAUUCAAAUAAGAAAAAUGAAACAAGAAAUCAAAGAUAGAAAAAAAGAAAAAUAAAAUAAAAUAAUAAAAGUAAAAGACCAAAAACCAAAAACACAUCCGCAUUAUUAUUGUUGACUGAAAUACAACAAAAUCAACAAGUUCCCCAAACCCAUCUAAUCAGAAAAAGCAUAGCAAAAGAACGAUCAUCAAAAGAAAGUACAAAAACAAAUUCAGUGAAAUGUGCCAAAAAAAUCCAAAUUAAUAAUUGAGAAGGAUGGGAAAGUGACUAAGUCGGCAAUUAAAAGACUGAACCAAACUGGCUCAAAAUUAAAAGACAAGCACCAUCCGAUGGGAUAGAUUUCAGUAUUUGUGACCAUCAGGAAACAUAAUAAUUCAUAAAUAAAUAAAAUAAAAUUUUGAUGAAUUGUUUUCUGGUCGGUACAAGUCAAAAGAAAAACACAAUUUCAACCUGAUAACACUUUUCAAAUCAUUGGAAGACGAGGCAAAUUCUAUUGGAAAAUAAAUGAAAACAUGAUAAAAAAUCAAAUUAGGUGAGAAGAAGAUCUAAGAACACGAGUGAAACAAGGGAUAAGUUUCUUUCGAGUUUGCAUGGUGAAGCAAUUAGGGUAAAGAUGCUUUAAGCUUGAGGAUAGCUAUUAAGUCUUAGGAUGUGUUAGGCCUAUUUUGAAAAACAUUUCGUUUUUGAGAAUUAAAUUUGUAAACACUACUUCCUUCUACUUUGAGUUUUUUUAAAAUCAAGCCAUACUUUUUAAAUUUUACGAAAAAAGAUGUAGGCCCCAUUCAGUUACCAUUUCAGUUUAUGGUUUUUGUUUUUCUGUUUAUUAAAUUCCGUUUUUAAACUUUGGUUUAUUAAAAACAAAAACCAUAAAUAUUAGGUGACUGAUUUAAAAACAAAAUCCUUCUUUUUACAUUUUCAGUUUUCCUUCCUAACUUAAAAAACAAAUUUCUUGUUUUAAAAACAAACAAAGUGAAUUAGUUACCAAACACACCUAUUUUUUAAGAACUAAAAAUCAAAAACCAAAAACAGGAAAUGAAACAAGCCCGUAGUUUAAAAAAAAAUGAUUUUGUUUUUGAAAUCUGCCAUAGAAUAAAAAAAUAUAUAAAAUAUAAGUGAUGAAUCUCAUCUUGGAGAAUCUGAUUUCAAAGAAAUACUUCUGGGUAUAUUAUUCAAAAUUGAGAUGGAGGAGAGGAGCUUUAAAUUGGCCAACUUCCCAGUGCUCAAACGGCAACUUUUUUACAAAUCUAAAAUUCUAAUAUUAUUCAAAUUACAAGAUACUGACCCAGCUGUUAGCAAAGUAAAAAAUAAGUUGUAGUAGAGUUAGUGUUUGUGUUUGUAAUUACAUCAAUAAGAGAUGAAAACCAUAGAAAAGUAGUGAGAAAACAAACACAAUUUUCAAAAACUAAAUAGUCAUCAGAGGGGGGCUUUAUUGAUUUAGAUGGCUACAAGUGUUCUUUUCCUAAAACUUGCAAUAUUUGGUGACCAAUAAAAUUGAAAAUAAGUUGAUUUUAAUUUUUAACAAACACUUUAAAGUUUAUUAUAAAAAAUGUCAUUUCAAAAGGAUCAAUAAAGAAUCAGUUUGAGGUCGCUCGGCAUUUGGAUGUUUGCUUCUAGAUGUGCGUAUGUACAAUAAGGGUAAAAAAAGAAGGAAAGGAUAAAGAAGGUCAAACCAACCGAAAAAGAGCAAUGAAAAGACUCAAAAAAACACUUCGAAAAAGAGCUCCAACUGUUACUUAAAAGGAAAGGGAGGAAAAAGACUGAAAAAUUUAUUGGAAGAAAAUAAAGAAAUACAAGGGAGAGGCAUUAAUAGAGUCCCCUUUGAACAUCCUUCCAAUACAUCUUUCUAUCUUGAAUUUUCUUUUGUUCUUGUCCCAAUAAUCAUCUCCUCCUAAGGAUCACAGAUAUAUCCCUAACAGACCCAGGUCAAAAACCCAUUAGAUCCCUGUAUCAGAACACCUGACAGACCCCGCUCAAAGACCCAUUAGAUCAAAAGUGAGAUAGUGGAUGGAAACAAAUAAAACACAGUCACCAAUUUACAAGAUCAAAGGACACAGUGCAUACUCUACAAGUGUCCAGAUUCACCAUAGCUAUAGAAGUCUCAAGUUCAACCAUGCACAUUGCUGCCAUACCUACCCUCCACUUCCUUGAGGUCCACUUUGGUAGUUAUCCCAGACCAUGCCUUGAGCCAACUCAAGCAAUCACACCUUCUUAGGCGUUCUAAAUCCCUUACUACCCAACAAUGGCAAAACCAAAAGACAUAUCUCUCUAGCCCCACUCUCUCAGCUUGACGUAGGUUGUUACAGAAUUACAUUGUUAUUGUCUUGUAUUUUAUUUCAAUUAGCUAUUAAGUUUUGCCUGGGUAAUCUUUUUUUUUUUUUUUUACUUUGGUGGAAAGGAAACUAAUAUAAUUAGUUUCUAUUUCCCUAAGACAGUGGACUCCCUUGUGUACACAAUAGACAAUACACAUUGUUGGGCAAUCAACAAAAUAAAGGCAAGCCGGUGCUAUUUCUCAAAAGUCCAGUAACUGUUGAUAGUUUUUCAAUAAUAUGAGAGGUGAUUGAUGUACGUAAAAGAGAACAAAAGGUAUUCAUACUACAUCAAACAUCCUCCUCGUAUAUCUUAUAGGAGGAUGCAUCUCUUAAACCACCGGACUGCCUUUGGUAAUGGGAACUCCAAUGAGCAUUCAAGGUCCUAUUAAGAGCGGGAGUUAUUAUUUAACAUCCCAAAUCCUGGCUCCCAUGUUCGUUCAAAAUAACUUUGAGCUACUAAGAAUUGUUUUCCCUCAAGAUAGAAAGGAUGUAUUGGCACAGAUCUCAAGAACAAGGUAACCCAUUACAAGACUUUAUUGGCAGAGCCGCAGAUGCAACUUCAUAACCAAAAUUUGUUAGGUAUAAGUAUAACAAAUCAGGUUUAUUUGGUCAAUUUGAUUCUGUUCUUGUAAGCUUAGCAAUCCAUUUGGAUGGGUUUUUAGUCAAUCAAGCAGAAAUUUUGGUCUUCCAAUAAAUCAGUUUCAACGUCAUUUUUCUAAAUCGAUACACUUGCUGGCUGUUAAGCCUAAACUUUUACUAUAAUAGGAGUCGCAUCUACCAGCACCCUGUAAACAUUAUCUCUCCUAAAACCUCUUGCAUACCACAGCAACAAGCCAUCCUCCUCUAGUUUACUAAACAAAAUUCAUAAACCUCCUUCUUUACCCAACUCUUUUCAAAGAAGUCCCUACCAAUUCCUUUCCAAGUACUUUGAAAACUCUACCCGAUGUCAUAAACAUAAACAAAGAUAAUAUGUGUGAAGUAUUAAAUAAAGCUGCCUUGGCCAGAGGUCAUGACUACCUUUUAAGAAGAGCAUUUUUAUUCAUUGCUAAAGUAGUUUGAUUACCACAUGAGUUAUUUAUUUAUUUCGAAAGGAUUUGAUUGCCACUUCAUGAAUUACAAAUUCUCAGAAUUACCUCCUAAUGGCCAUUGGCCAUCCUAGGUAUUUCAUAUAUCAAUCAUCUAAGUCACAAUUAUACACGCAGGCUUUUGUUGAUGACAGUCUUAAGUUCUUAACAGUACCCAUCAAUAAUCUAUAUACUACCUAUCACUGUAAUUAAUGAUAUGCACUGAAUGAAAAGUUGAAACAUUUAAAUGGUAGAAGUGCAGUAAAUAAAAAGAAUAUGAAACAUUUCAUACCACAAGUGUGACGUGUAUCCUCCGAGAGACCCACCAGCAGCCGCCUGACCCGAUUCAGAAACCGUCUUACCGAGCAUUGUGCUUGAGUAAAUGUGCGGCAACCCCUUCAACGAUGACGAACCAGGCCCAUAAGAGCCUAGCAAUGACGAACCACCAGCACUUAAUUGGCUUAAGCCAUACGACCCCCCACUGUAACCACUCAAGCCAAUCCCAGCCCCAACUGAACUACCAACCAAACCCACUUGACUCAUGGGAACUACUCCCUGGUUCAACAUACCACCUCCCAAAGCUGGACUCCCAUAUCCACCAUACACCGGAUGAUUAAGGCCCGGAUGUUGAGCAAACAAUUGCAAAUUAGGAGCUGCGGCCAUUGCCGCCAUAACCGGCGUCUGAUUCUGCCCUAAGCUUUCCGCUGCCUGUGUGGAAUUUUGAUUCUUGUUCUUCCCUCAGACGCCCUCUGGCAGUGCAAUUUGUUCCCUUCAAACACUUUGUGUGGUUCCUCAAGAGCCUUCCUCGCACCUUCAUUCGUUCUAUAAAUAAAAAUGGCAUAACCCCUCGAUUUCCCUGUCUCGGGAUCGAACCCAAUCGGACCCAUCUCUAAGUCUCCAAAUUUCGCAAAGAACGCCCUAAGCCUCUCAGCAUCCACAUUAUGGUGCACAUUAGCCACAUAAAUCUUCCGCGGCCCAACCUCCUGGCUUUGCGGGGGCGGCACUGAACCCACAGAAGCCAAUUGACACGAAGUCAUCCGGUUAUUAAUCUUCUUCCUAGGUUCCUUCAACGCCUUAAUUGCACCUUGCCGGGAUUUGAACAAAAAUAAACCCAUAUCCCUUAGCCUUACCUGUGUUUCUGUCCAUAACCACAUUGCAAUCUUCAAUUUCACCAAAAGAUUCAAAAACCGAAGUUAGGGUUUCUCGGGUGGUGUCCCAACCGAGGCCAUGGACAAAUAUCUUGCGGUGAGUAACAUCGCGGUCGGCAGCAGCUCGAAUUUGGGCUUGAAGAUUUGGGUCUUUGAGAGCGGUGGUGCAAAUGAGCUCAAUUAAUUGGUCUUGGAGAAGGGUUCGAGGAGUUUGGGAAGAUCGUCGAAAUCGGAGUCGGAGACGUCGUCGACUGGUUGAGACUGAACGUUAUGUUCAAGCUCUUUCUUGAGUUUCUUAUCGACCUUGUUUUCAGAUUUCUUGACCAGCUUUCUUUUGGCGGUUUUGUUGGUUCCCUCCAUUGGAGAGCUACUGAGCCGGCGGCUUCAAAAGAAGAAGAAGAGGAGGAAGACGAAACAAGGUUUCGGCGGACUGCCCCGAGUCUAAAGCAAAUUUUAAUAUUAAUAUUAUUAUUUUGUUCUUUUUUUGAGAAAAUCAAUUAAUAUAUAAUAAAAUAGAGAAAUUGUUGUCAUUAAUUUAAGGGGUUUUUUCUUCUUCUUCUUCUUUUUUUUUUUUUUUUGUUAAAGAAUAACUUUAUGCUAAAUUACAAAUUUGGUUAAGCUUUGUAUAUUUAUAUGGUAGUAGUUUUCUUUUCCAUAAAUAUUAAUAGGUGUUGAUAUAUAGUUGAUAUUUGGUAUCAACUUAUUCUUUCUAAUAUAAUCAUUUUUACAACCUACAAAAUAGAAAAAAUAGCCUCCAUAUUAUGUUUGGUCAUCGACACUUUGACAAUCCAUAUGGUAGAAAGGACAUACUAGAAAUCUUGUUAAGGUAGAAAAGACGAGAAGACAACUUUACCAUUGUGCUAACUAAUGUUAUUAGUAUUAUAUGUAUCUAAAGAGUAUGAAGUUGUGUGUGUAUAUAUAUAAAGAGCAUAUAUUAUACGGCUAGAUGGUUGAUCUUGUGGAUCAAUCACCAUAUUUGGUCAAAUAAGUCUAUGGCUAAAUGUGGGUCUGUCUCCAUUCCUAGUCAAACAAGUAUUCAGUUAUUCUUUCACAAUACUAAGUUUUUAAUAUUUUUUAUUUAAUCAAUUUACUUAAAAAUUUAGAGGGAGAGAUUUUCCUCUUUUCCAUUGUCAUGGAAGGGGUAGAGAGGGAAGAGAAAAAAUAAAAGGGAUGAAAAAAAACGAAGGAAAGCAUUAUUCAUCUUUCUUUCUCCUACUUGGAUGGUUGUUUUGUUAGAAUUUUGAUAUAUAUGUUGAGCUUUUGAUUCUUACUUAACUCUAAUAUCUAAUUUGUAGAUAUCAAUCAAGUAUAGCUCUUUGUAAGUAUGUCUUGCUUUAGGAUCGGGUCGAAUAGUAAUAGUUUAAACACACUUUCAUAUUAAUUUUGAUACUAAAACAAGGAAAAUUUACCCAACGCGGGAGAAAUAAUACUUUGAUAGUUAUAUGUUCAAGUUUAUCUCUUAUUUUAUGGUACAUGAUUUUGCACUGACUAAACUAAAAUAUUCUUUAAGUAGGAAGGAAAGUUACCAACUAAAGAUUCGUAUGACUGUCACCACAGUAUUAAAUAACCUCGUGAAUUCUCUUGAAUCUCUUGAACACAUUUUCUACUUGUAUAACUUAGCGUGGAAGUUUAAUGAAAUUCAUCUUUACAUUAUUAUUGGAAGGGAUGGUCUUAGAAGUUCAAAAUUUAAUAAAGUUUUUUCAAUAUAAUUCAUGUAAAGGUAAAGGUUAGAAUUUGAGAUCUCAACAAAGAUGGUGCAUAAUGUUAUGCUAUUUUUUUUUUGACAAUUAAACUAAGAUUAGUAAAACAUAAGUUAUAAUAGUUAUUACUGUCGAACACAACUCUAGCUAACCUAAUUGUUUAGGAUGAAAAUUUCUGCCCAACAUUCUGUAUUAUAUAUCAACUAAUUAACUAUAGCCAUAUAUUUUUAAUAGUUUUCAUUCUAUAUAUAAACAAUAUCAUGUCACCUACUACAUAGUUUUUAGUGCUACUGCUUAAUAAGGUGUGUCAUUAGUUUUGUUUUUGCAAAAUCUUUCUUUUAACCAUUGUCAUCAUUUGAUUUAUGUAAUAUUCUAACUUUAUUCUAAACAUGGAUAAGAGUUGGAUAUGAUUUAAGCGAAAUAGAUAAAUUUUAUAAAAAUAAUUUGUAAGCAACUAAAUUUAUGUUGAUAUCAAACUCUCAUAAGAGAUUUCCAUAUAUUAAGAAUUGAUUUUCGAUGUUUGAUUUCAAAAAUUAAUUAAUUUAAAAUUAUUUAAUAAGUGGUUUUCUAUUUGAGAAAUAAUUAUAAAAAAAUUUCUCAAAUGAGUGUGUAAAAAAAUUAAAUAACCAUUUUAGAAUGAUUUCCAAUCAAAUUACUAAAUAAAAAUUACAUAUCAUCUCAUUUCUCUAACAUCCAUUUGAAAUUAUUUUAUAUUUUUCUAAAAUCAAUAAACAAACCCUAAAUACCUCUAAAUUUUACGGUUCAAUUUUUAAUUGACUAUGUUGAAGAAAAUGUUUGAAAUUUGAAAUUAUUUCAAAACAUACCAUUAAAUUUUUUUCCUUUACUAAAAUGAAUUAUAAUAUUUAUAAAUUAAUUUCAAACUAUCUAGAGAAUUAAAUUGUUGUUAAAAGAUAUCAUAUCAUGACAUAAAAAAAAGUCUACAUCCCAAAAUCUUUAGUUCUUUCAUUUGUUCAAUCUCUUUUUCAAUGAAAAUGUCGACUCAAAAUAUCAAAAUUUUAAAAGUAUUUGAUCGAUUUAGUGAUAAUUAAUUCAACUAUGUUGGCUUUUGCUAUAUGUAUAGUAAUAUGUAUAUAUAUAAACACUGUGUACGGAUGAAAAUAUAUUCCCGUGAAUUUACUUUGGAUAAGUUCCAUUUGUUUUCUUCUGCACUUUGAAUAUAUUCGGUAUCUACCAAUUACCAUCCAAAUUCUCCUUUCCUUUCUCUAUAAUUAAAAUAGAAAAAUAAAAACAAACCUUUCACUUUUUGUAAAUAAAAUUUUCCAAACCAAUCAUUCAUAAACUCAAACUUUCUUACUCUUUCUCUUAUCUUCUAUCCUUUUGCAACAAAAAAAAAAAAAAAAAAAAACUAUGAAAAUCUGCUUCUUCUUCCUUCAACUCACUCUCAUCAUUGCUACAAUUUUCGCAUCCAAACCAACUUAUGACUUCUCCAGUACCAUCUUCGACACCGGAGGGCUCAGUCGAGCUGCAUUUCCAGAAGGUUUCGUCUUUGGAACUGCAACUUCUGCAUACCAAGUAGAAGGAAUGGCUGACAAGGAUGGCCGAGGCCAAAGCAUUUGGGAUCCUUUCGUUAAACUCCCCGGUACUCAUAUCUUUCCAUUACUUUUGAGUUCUGAUUUAGUUAAAAAUGAACUAAAUAUCAUCAGAUCUUCUUAUUUUUUUCCGAUGUGAGAGAUUCUCAUGGCAUAAUAAAUAUAAUUGCUUGAGUUAUUUUUCCUUGUUUUUUUUGAAAUGGUUGUGAGUAGGAAAAAUUGUUGACAAUGCUACUGGAGAUGUAGCUGUGGAUCAAUAUCAUCGAUACAAGGUAUACGUGAAUCAUGUCAUCAUAUUUAAUUGAUAUUAAGAAGUUUGAAUAUCCAUAUAUAUCUGGUUAAUGAUUUUUCUUUUUAAUCUUAACAAAAUUGUUUUUAAAUUUCUAAUUUUAUGUUUUUAAUUUAAUUUCUUUGUCCGUUUGGAAUAGGAAGACAUUGAUAACAUGAAAAAGCUGAACUUCGAUGCUUAUCGAUUCUCGAUUUCUUGGCCGAGGAUAUUUCCAAGUAUUUAAAAUUUUCUCUUUAUACAAUAUUUUUAUCUUUUGAAUGGCAAAAAUCAUUACCUGCAGCUACAUAAUUAUAAUUAAUAAUAAUCUGUUUUAUUUCAUUUUUGCUUCUUUGUUUUUCAAUAGAUGGAACAGGAGAAGUAAAUUGGAAAGGGGUUGCUUACUAUAAUAGAUUGAUUGACUACAUGAUUCAACAAGGUAAAAUAUUAUAUGUUACACCCAUUCAUUUUAUUUGAUUUCAAUUUUAGUAUAAAAAAAAUUCAAAUUAUAGCCUAUUUAAUUAAUAUCUAUUUUAUUUUUCGGUAUAAAAAAUGAAGCCGAAUUUAUUUAAAAUUUUACGACGUAUAAUUUUCAAAUCAGAAAACAAAAUGAUAAAUUAGUUAUUAUUUACUUACUUAAAUAAUUAGACUAUUUCUUUGUUAGGAUAUAAUGUUGUUAUUUUGGACAUAGACUCUAGUCAUUUUAUUUUUAAUUUUAUUUGAAAGACUUGUCUAGCGAAAAUGAUAAUAUAUUUAAGUAAUCGAGUUUUUUAAAGUAUUUUAUGGUUUAAUAAGACGAUCAUUACGUCGUAAUUGUAAUUGACUCUUUAUUAUUUACGACUUCUUUUAGUAAUUAUUUCAUCGAUUUAAUUAGUUUGUUUUUUAAUUGAACUUAUUUUCUCUUUAUUUAUUAAAUUUUUAGUUAAAUUUUAAAUGUCAAACAACUAUUUGUUUAAAUUUCAAAAACUCAAUAUAAUAAAAUUUUAAUGAUUAUAAUUCUAUGUGUGUGUUUCCUUUUCAUUGCAACGUGAAGGAAUCACACCCUAUGCAAAUCUUUACCACUACGAUCUUCCCUUGGCAUUACAAGAAAGAUAUAGAGGUUUACUAGACAAGCAAAUUGUGUAAGUUUGAUCAAACUUAUGUGUAUAACUUAUAUUUUCAUACCUACAUUGGGUUAUGAUUGCAAUUAUUUUCAACAUAUAUAUGUGCAUGCAGGAUCGAUUUUACAAAUUAUGCAGAAUUUUGUUUUGAAGAAUUUGGAGAUAGAGUGAAGAAUUGGAUGACAUUUAACGAACCGAGAGUUAUAGCUGAUGUUGGGUUCAAUAGCGGAAUAAUGCCUCCUUCAAGAUGUUCAAAAGAAUAUGGAAAUUGUACAGAUGGGAAUUCAGGAACUGAACCUUACAUUGUGGCUCAUAAUAUAAUUCUUUCCCAUGCUAAUGUGGUUGAUACAUAUAGGAAGAAAUUUCAAGUAAGUAAAGAUGCUUUUUUUUUCUAAUUAUUUAUUAAGUUUUGUUUUUAUUUUUGUGAAUAAUAUUUUUAUUAAUAUAUAGACUUGUAAUUUCUAUAGGAAAAACAAGGAGGAAGAGUUGGGAUUUUGUUGGAUUUUACAUAUUAUGAACCUCUCACUAAUGAGAAAGAAGACAGAGAUGCAGCUCAAAGAGCAAGAGAUUUUCAUAUUGGCUGGUAAAAAUUAAUAUAUUAAUCCAAUUUGUGAUUUGUUUUGUGUUCAAGUUUAAUUUUUAUGUUAAAUUGGAUCAUUAAAUAUAUAAUAUCAAUUUUCACCAACCUAUACAUAUAUGUAUAUGUUGAAAUUAGGUUCUUGCAUCCAUUUACAUAUGGUGAAUAUCCAAGAAGAAUGCAAGAAAUAGUAAAAGAAAGGUUACCAAAAUUCAGUGAAGAAGAGGUAAAAAAGGUGAAAGGGUCAGUAGAUUUUGUGGGUAUCAAUCAAUAUACAACUUUCUAUAUGUUCAACCCUACUUGGCCAAAACCAACCACUCCUGGCUAUCAAUCUGAUUGGCAUGUUGGCUAUGCUUGUAAGACUCUACUACACCAUUGUUAUUAUUAUAAUUAUUUAAUCAUCUUCUUCACUUCAAUUAUUUCUAUAUUCUAAUGCUACUUUUUUCUUAUAAUUUUGUUCCCACAGAUGAAAAGAAUGGAAAACCAAUUGGUCAACGAGUACGUAAUUAAUCUUUAACAUCGAUUGAGCGAUGUUCGCUUUUAACUACUAAAUAUAACUUUUGAUUGGUCUCAGGCUCAUACCGGAUGGUUGUAUGAAGUACCAUGGGGAAUGUACAAAGCUUUGAUGUAUGUGAAGCAACACUAUCGAAAUCCAAACGUUAUAGUUUCAGAAAAUGGUAAUUCACUCUCAAUUUCUGUUUAUUUGUUUUUGAUCAGUUUUAGUCAUGAGGUUAUAUUUAUUACUAAUUCCUUUUUUCAUAAGAAAAAAACUGUACAGAAUAUUCCCUUUUAUAAUUAUUUUUCUAAAAAUGUAUAUGAUUUGUAUAGAUUUUCAAAUCAUUAUCCCUACAAGAAUAUGGUAUCUUUGAAAUAAUCGUAAUCAAAAUUUGAAAACAAAAUAUAGGAAUUUUGAAAACUCAUUCAGCAUUUUUUUCUCACAUGAUAUUUGAUAAUUGGGUUUGCACUAGAAGUCGUCGUUAUACGUACAUAUGUUGGCAAGUAGCUGGUAGCAGGUAUUUUGUAACAGUUAAACGUUUAAUUCUAUUUUAAAUGCAAUGAUAGGAAUGGACACUUCUGAUAUCCCACUUCCUGAAGGGUUAAAUGAUAGAGAAAGAAUAAAUUACUACAAGACAUAUUUGCAAAACAUGAAGAAAGCCAUUGAUGAUGGAGCUAAUGUGAGUGGAUAUUUUGCAUGGUCUUUGCUUGAUAACUUUGAAUGGCUAUCAGGUUAUACUUCAAGGUUUGGUAUCAUAUAUGUUGAUUACAAACACAAUCUCAACAGAAUUCCUAAGAUGUCAGCCUAUUGGUUCAAACAAAUGAUUAGUAAGAACUAGGAGUAUAAUUAAACCUAGCUCAAGUAAUAUUUUAAAUGCUAUUGGUAACUAUAUAUAUAUAUAUUAUUCUCUUCCUUUCUUAUAUUUAUAAGAAAAUAAAUGAUUGACGAACAAAACAUAUUAGUGGAUCAUCUUUUACCAAAUUUUGAAAUUGAAUGAUAAUUGAUAUUUUAUGAAUCGAAUUAUGCUUAUAUUCUCGAGACUCUUUAAAUCUCUUUUUUUAAUUUCACUAAGAUAAAUACUUUUAUCUUAUAUAUAUAUGCAAAUUUUUUUCAUGAUAGUCUCUACUUAAUUUUGUUUUUUUAUACAUGUGUGUAUAUGUACAUAGAGGAAAAAUUGAAGUUGAUGUUAGGACAUCUUUUACAUGUCAAUUUUGAACAACUGUGUUCAAUAUUUUGUCAGGCAUUAAAUUAUUUGUGGUCAUUUGUAUCUUUUUACUUAUGUAAUAUUUUAUUUUAAAGUAAUAUUAAUUAAAGCGAACUCAACUAAGAAGUUUAUAGUUAAAUUCUUCUACCGUACCAAAUUUAAAAAAGAAAAUAGUAUUCACCUUUUAAAUGAUUUUAGAAAUAUUAUCAUGGUCUGAUUCUUUUCCCUUUAAAAGUUGUAACUUAAUUUGGAUAUAGUUUCAAUUAGUUCCUCUUUACAAGUUUCAAAUUUACUAGUUGUGGUUUGAAUAUUUAGUUUAAAUUAGGCGUGAUAGUUGGCUUAGUUUUCUUUAUCUUGUAUAUAUCUAGUCAAGAAUCAAUAAAUAAAUUUUUCAAAAUGACUGUAAUCUGUUUGAUUUAAAAGUUUUAUAUAGGUUAAUUAGCUCAAUAAGUAUGCAAUUAUGAUGGCACAUAUCUAUAACCUCGUACAAAAUAUGGAGGAAAGUUCACGAACCCUAGGUCAAUUGACAUAUACUCAAGUCAUUAUGACUUUAAGAAAAAAAAAAAGAAUUAGUCAUUUAUGAUUCUAAAAAAAAACUCAUACUAAACUUACAUCUUAAAGCCUUUAACGAACUUAGGCACAAAUACUCGUCUAGUACUAGCCCAUUCUCUUUUGUGCGUCAUAUUUAAAUUGAAACUAAACUUAAAUAUUUAGAUCGAACUCAAAAGAUUCUAAUUUGUAAUUUAGUCGCGACAACAUUCUUGUUAAAAAAUGAUGACUAGCUAACCAAAUUAAACUGCACCUCUAUUAUCUAUUAUAUCUUAGUCACAAUGAAAUUAAUUAAGUACAAUAAUAUUAUCAAUUGGUCAAUAAAGGGGACUAAUCCAACUUGGAUCCCAACAACAACAACGUGGCUGAUAGUUAAGGAGAUAAGACCCUUCUAUUGGUAUGAUAUCAUGGGUGUGUUCUUAAUCAAUUAAUUAAACCCUUAAUUAGAAAAAAUUGAAACAGUUACAAUGUCCAACUAGGCAGCUUCCAUUUCAAUAAACCACAUCUGACGUGCCAUCAUUUGUGGUUACUAAUUAAUAGUUAUGCCACUUAGAAAAAGCCUAAGCCACUUAGAUUAUUAAUUAUGAUUAUAAUUAUUAAUUUCAUUUUCAUUGAGUCUAUGUGUGGUUCUUCCACUUUAAUGACCUGAAAAAUGCCUUUUUCUCCUAAGCACUAUUAUUCAUUCUCAUUCGUGGUUUCAUUAAUAAAAAUCAUCUCUAAUAUAAUCUAAUCAUUCACAUUAAGUAGUAAUAAUAAUAAUAUACCAAAAACAUGGGCUUUCAUUCUUCACCAACUCUCUUAAGAGUGUGGCAUGCUUAGUGUUGUUGUACUUUGGGUUUUAUAUAUUUUAAUUCAAUUUGUUGGUAAAUAGUUGGAAUUAGUCGGUUUCCUAUGAAAUCAUCACCAAAAGGAUGUUUGGCUAUUAGUUUUGAUGCAUAUACAUCUAUCUUUUUUGUCAACUUUUGGAGUUUUUUUUUCCUCUUUGACAAUGUGGGUAAAGAAAAUCGAACAUAUGAUAUCGAGAUUGAUAGUAAAUAUUUUAUGUUGGGUUGAGUUAUACUCGUUUUGGUAUAAAUAAUAAAAUAAGCACACAAAGAUGUCUAAAUUUAAAGUUGAGAAGUUGGAGCUUGUUAUUAUCAAUCUCAUGGUUUAAAGGGUUAGUAGAGAUAGUAUAACGGAACGGUUUUAUGAGAAAAAAUUCAUAUAGUGACUUAAUCAAGCUUAAAUAAACAAAACCACAUCCAAAAAUGUUAAGAACUUGACAAUCAAAGAUAAAUAAAAAAUAAAAAGCGAACAUAAACAAUAGAGAAUAAUCAACACAAAGAUUUAACAUAUAGUUCACCAACAGUGUGUUAGCUACAUUCACGUGUAAAGGAAGAGUACAAACUUUAUUAGCAAGAAAAUAUCAUACUAUAGAUUCAAUUGUUGUUAGAGAGUUUAAUAUUGUGCACUGUUCAAAGCCUUAUAGAGCCAAAAUAAAAUAACAUGAAUACAAAUACAACUUAAUAUAUUUGUUUCAUCGCCCAUGUACUCUAGUUGAUAUUGAUGUACUAGGUGACAAGACCGUUAUAUUUUGGUCAUACAUUCAGAACGUCAAAUAAUAAAUUCAAAGCAUUCCAACACAAAACAUUAAUACAAGCUCGGAUUUCUAAUUUUGGGUUUUCAGAAACCCUACUUCAUGGUUAAAAUAACAUAUUAUUAAAACUCAAACUAAAAUAAUCUACGCUCCACGCACAAAAUCAUUAUAACUCAACUAUAAUAACCAAUUAUUGCCUCAAACGCUUCUUUAUUUAGAGGGUGAAAAAGAUUUUUGUUUAAUUUCCUCACCAAUUUGGCUUAGCAUUAUUUUAUUCUUAACAUAUAUGAAUAUGUGUCUAAUAACUAUAUGGGAGUUGUAACCGUACACCAUUUUAGACAUACCGUAUCAUGACUCUUUGGAUGACACCUCAAAUCUUGAUCUAAAAGCAUAGAAUGAUUCAUAAAAAAGGAUACACAUUCAUAUAUCAUAACGCACCAAAUCUCAUCAAAACUUUACAGUUAAGCAUACUCGAACGAUAUAGUACUAAAUUUGGUGAUCACUUGGAAAGUCUUCGUUUUCACCUAUUUAGAGAAAUAAUGUUCAAGAAAGUCACCUCAAGGCAAUAAAAGAAGCUUAAUAUCUUUGAUUUCAAAUAUAUCAUCCCAUCAUUUUAAGCACUUUGAGUUUAGCAUAUGUUAGCUACAACCGAUAUAACGAGUUCUUAUACUUAGAGUUGGAGAGAGAAUUUUUUAUGUGGUUGUAAUAAUUUUUGACAAAGUAUAUUUUUUUUAUUUCUCACUUUAAUUUUUGCAUAAUCGUGUGAUAGUAGUAAGUGGUUUUAUUCCAAUAGAAAGUGAGUAAAAAAUGAGCAUUGGUUUGAUUGGGAAGGAACCCUUAGGUUCAACUUAAUUUCUAAUGUAAUUUAGUUAUAUUAUUGGUUGAUAAAAAAAUUUAUAUUAGUUAUAAAAAGUAGCUCCUUCUUUUAUGACAAUGACAGUUGAAUUUGAUUAAUUAUUAAUUAAGAGAAAACAUAUUGGGUUUGGAGCAUAUGAGAUUUAAUUAAUUUAUUAAAAGCUUUGCAGCCCUAACCAAAGCCAUGCAUGGCUUAUAAAUACUACCAAUUUCAAAGCUUCUAAAUACACCAAAACAAAAACUAACUUCCAACACAAGAAAAACCCAAAAUAAUAAUUCCAAUAUCUUCUUCCUUCUUCCUUCUUCCUUCUUCCUUCUUCCUUCUUCCUCGAUCUUCUUUAUAGGCCUCCUUCUUUCUCUAUAUUCUCAAAAUCAUGUCAUCCCUUGGAGCUUCCUAUGCCAAAAUCCACCUCCUACAGAAGCAACAAAAGGAGAAACUUGAGAGAAUGGAACCAAAUCGAUUCUCCCGAGGAGAGACCGCCACCGCCACGGGUUCCUCUAGUGGUGGUUCUUUGCUUGCAAGGAAUAAAAAAGUUCACCCGGGAAGCAUUGCUCCGACGACCACAGUCGACAGCUACAAAAAUAGAACAUGAUCAAGUUAUAUAUUUGACUUUAUGCUUCCCGGCCCUUCUUGAUCAUGACCUGUUUUCCUUCUUUUAGUGUCUAUAAAAUCGAAAAGCUUUUGUUUGUGUAAAUGUGUUUAAAAAUGUCUGUCCAAAGGCCAAAAGAAAAAGAAGAGGAAGAAGAAGAAGAAUAGUAUAAGUGUGUCUUUUGGUCUGAUCUACUCUUUUCAUGUUCUCUAGUCUGUACUUUUCCAAUGUUUUGCUGUUAAUUAAUUAAGGAUGUAAUUGUGUCUUAAUGCUUUAUAAGGUAAAGUAUAACACUUUAGUUUUUAUUAUACAUAUAUAUAUAGUAAUUUUCUCCUUUGACGUCAUGAUAGCUAUAGAAAAGUAUUUGGACAAUAUACAUCUCACAACUAUAUCUAUUCAUCUCAAAAUGAACAAAGUGAAGAAAAAAUUCAAAACAAUUAAUUAUUUUAUGUAGAGAUGUGAAGAAAUAAAAUAACUAUAUACAUUUGUAAUUUGUAACCUGUUACAUUAACAUUUGAAAAUGAAGAUGAAGUAAGUUGUAACUAAAACAUGUGAAUAGAGGAUAUGUGAGGGUUUGGACCUAUCAUUUUCAAUAUUGAUUUCAUAAGAAAGGAGAUUCAUAUCAUCCUCAUUAGAGGGAGGUAUGAUAGAGACAUGAG
RNAcentral lists this long non-coding RNA (67843 nucleotides) under Cucumis sativus (cucumber). RNAcentral's name for it is "long non-coding RNA (CSAT_LNC003158)". The record is from RNAcentral. Lineage: Eukaryota; Viridiplantae; Streptophyta; Magnoliopsida; Cucurbitales; Cucurbitaceae.